Molecule: long non-coding RNA, 84105 nt
Filed under: Setaria italica (foxtail millet)
Lineage: Eukaryota; Viridiplantae; Streptophyta; Magnoliopsida; Poales; Poaceae
Description: long non-coding RNA (SITA_LNC005527)
Source: RNAcentral
UGCUCUCCCUUCUUCCUCGUUCCCUGCCCCUCACCAUCCUCCAUUCCACCCAACAACCAAGAAGAGCAAGGCGUCAGCCAUGAGCAAGGACUGCGGCAACCACGGCGACGACGACCUCCGGCGCUCGUGCCGGCGCCUCCUGGCCAUCCUCCUGUUCCUGGCCUUCCUCGUCGCCAUCAUCGCGCUCAUCGUCUACCUGGUGCUCCGCCCCACGCACCCGCGCUUCUUCCUGCAGGACGCGUCCCUCCGGCAGCUCGACCUCUCCAACGGCUCCUCCAACGUCCUCUCCACCACGCUCCAGGUGACCGUCGCCUCCCGCAACCCCAACGACCGCGUCGGCGUCUACUACGACCGCCUCGACGUCUACGCCUCCUACAAGUACCAGCAGAUCACCGUCGCCGCAUCGCUCCCGCCAGUCUACCAGGGCCACGGCGACGUCGACGUCUGGUCCCCGGUCCUCGCGGGGCCCAGCGUCCCCUUCGCGCCCUACCUCGCCGACGCGCUCAGCCAGGACUGCCAGGCGGGGUACCUCAUCCUCCAGGUCAAGAUCGACGGCCGCGUCAGGUGGAAGGUCGGCAGCUGGAUCUCGGGACACUACCACCUCUUCGUCACAUGCCCGGCCUUCCUCGUCACCAACGGCGGCAACGGCGCGCCGGGGGCCAGCGGAUUUAAGUUCCAGACCACCACCACAUGCCACGUCGAGGUCUAGAGACUUUGGCGGUGUUCCUCCACGGCGCCGCCGGCGAGGUAGGUGAGGUUCCGUCCCUUGUGGCUUGCGUCUGUCUCCCUGCCUGUCCAUAGCGGAAGGGGAAAAAGAAAAACAGAGGACGCAAGCAGAGAUCAGAGUCAGGCGAGGUGGUAAUAAUCGAUCGAUACCAGUAGUCGUGAUUCUGCCUGCAGUGAUGCGGGUGCGUAUUUAAAUGUAAAGGAGGGUAAUUUUUCUUCCGAUUUCGGUAGGGUUGAUUAAUACGAGUAGUAGUACGAUCGAUCAAUGGUCUUAUAUACAGUACUUCACUAUAUAUGUGAUGCCUGUUCAUCCCAUUAGCUGGUUGGAAUUACUGUUGUUGAAGGAAGCUUAAUUGUUAAUAAACCUUUUUGAUGCGGAAUUAAAGGGGUACCGAUUGGCAUGGCCGUUUUCAUGGGAUUCCGGCUGGUUGAUUACUUGACUUGCAUUUCCUUCCUUUUUGGAAUUUCAUUGUUGUGCUUUUUUCCUUUCAAAUUCAGAAAAAAGGUGUUUUUUUUGCUGUAUGGUUGGCCUUUGUCUUGCUUGGUCUUGGAGCGGCGAGAUGAUGUUGGUGAUGAUCCUAGCAAGCAGCAGCAGUUUCCAUUAGUUCAUGGCCGAAACGAACACAAGUAGUGCUGCAUGAUCUGGGGUUUGGAAUUUUGCCGGGGGGGCAGGGAGUUUGGUGGCAACCACCAGAUCCGAGGCAGCAGUAGCUCCGAGUUGAGUUGAAGCCGAGAUUUGGUGUGGGGAAACCCAAGUACACACAUGGGGGGACGACUCUUCCUUUCUUCCUUGGUGAUCCAGAGCGUCAAAGCGGUGGUUGAUCACUCUCACUCACUCAAGUCUCUAACACACACAUGGGACGGCUUGGGAUGGGCCCUGAUGAUACGAUCUUCACUUAACCGGUAAGAAACCUUGGGAGAAGAAAACCAAUUGAGCAUGUGUGCUAGAGGAGUGUGGCAGUUGCCGAUGCAUGCGCUGGCUCUCGCAUGUGGAAGCAUCUAUUCUGGCACUGAAAAUUGCUGGUAAUAUCAUUUGGAACUUUGACUUAGGAAUCUGUUCCUGCCCGUAGUUUAAUCAGUAGCAGCAGGCUAGAUUAGACAAGUGACCUGGCAAAGCUUUUUUAUCAGAAUUACUGGAAGAAAGCCUUUUCUUUCUUGUUUUCCUCCCCCUUAGUGCAUGUCUACUAGUAUUCUUUGUGCCAUUCUUUUUUCUUUUUUUUUUCUCAACUUUUGCACGGAAAGCUUCUUUUUUGUUGGGAAGAAAAGGGAAUAAUAAAAGUAUUAAUAAAAUGAGGAAUCAUGGUGGAUGGAUGGGAUGCAGGCAGCUAGUGGCCCCUGCGUUUGAUGUGCCCGUGGCCCAUCCAUGGCUGCAGCCUGCAGCGAGGCAUUCAAUUUCUCUGAAAACCAUGCUCCUUUCGUCAGACAAUGGACCAUUCUGAUUUCUGAACACAAUACUCCACAAAUGCAGUGUCCGUUAAAAUACAGGGAAGGAGCAGAAAUGAACGAUGAGGGUUCGGGAGCCCAAAUGGCAUGAGAAUCCCGCGUGCAUGUGCGUUGGUGCGUCGCUUUCCGUUGCUUCCUUCCUCCGGGCUGCAAUGCCAUUGCCAUCCCGCGGCUAAGCAACACACCACCUUUCUGAGCGGCCGGUCGCUUGUCUUACCUCUUCCUUCUCCUAGAGUAUUUGUUGCACGAUGGGAUGGGAUGGGAUGGCUCGGUGCCUUCGCGUGUACGCGCGCACCCGAUGGAAUGGUGGAAAGCAAUCGCUUCCUACUAUGCUCCCUGCUCGGCUCCAUGCCCAUUUGGUGGUGGAGGAAGAAGGAUCGGACGUGGCACCCGCCGUGAUGCCAACCGGUCAUCAUCUCGGCGUUUAAUUGGUUUGGUGCCACCGAUUUAAUCUGUCCUUAGCUAGGCUUUGUAGAUGGCACGAUCGUGGCAGUUCACUUGGUCGUUUUUAUCGAUCACAGGGCAAGUCGACCAAAUCACCCAACCCAACCACCACAAGGGCUAACCGCUCCGCUUAAUGGGCUCUUGAUGACAUGCCUCUUGGUAAAUCAGUCCCCAAAGUGCCACUUAUAUUACUGAUAUAUACUAACUGCUAUAGAUUUUGCUUGGAGUGCAGAAGAGAAUGCAAGAAGGAGGCGAGUCUCCUUCUGCUCGCCGACCUCUCUGGCUUGGGGCAGGAGGCGACUCAAUGCGCUUCCACGACUUGGCCGGCUCUCAGGCUUGGGGGCUGGACGCCACAGAUGACUCGACAAGUCUCCUGCUGCUUGGUCGACCUCUCUAGCUUGGGGCAGGAGGCGACUCAAUGUACUUCUGCGACUCGGCCGGCUCCCAGGCUCGGGGGCUGGAUGCCAUAGACGACUUGGCGUGCCUCCUGCCACCAGGCCGACCUCCCAGGCUCGGAGGCAUGGUGCGGGAGGUGACUCGACGUGCCUCCACGGCUUCAUCAGUCCUCGCGCUCGGGGGCUAGGCGCCUACUUCGGGUCGGCGUGCCUCCGUGGCUCCGCUAGUCCUCACACUCGGGGGCUCGGAGGCUGGGCGUUCACUUGACGUGCGUCCAUGGCGUUUCACAGGAUAAAGACCACAAAAUCAUGGAUUUUUCUUUGAGCAUUGUGCAUCUUCUCGACAACCAGAUGACGAAAGUACUCGGGCAAAGCUUAUCCAACUCGGCAUUCGUGUCAGGCUGCCGUUCAACUCCACAUCGCUCGGGGGCUUGACGGUUAUAGAUACCCGGGUACCUUCAUGGAGGGCCCAGCCAACCACUAAUGGGCCGGCCCGACUUGAUAAAGGCAAAAGAUAGAGUUCGGCUAGGGUUCCCCACGUGUUGUAAUCCGACUAGAUCUCAUCUAUAGUAACCGAUUAGGGUCCUGCCGUGUAACCCUACCCCUCGGAGUAUAUAAAGGGAGGUAGGGGUAUCCCUAGGAGGGGAACUGAUCCAAUCCCUCAACACAACAACCACACCUGAGUGCAGGGUGCGGUACAAUCCUCAAAACAAGAUAUAGGAUAUUACGCUACACUGGCGGUCCGAACUUGUAUAAAUCUCUAUAUCUUAUGCCUUGCAUUACCAUCAAGUUCAUAGUCUUGCGAUUCUCUCUGCUUACAAAUCUACCACUUGGGUAACUUUAGUGGACUGAACAGGCUACUAAAUCCGACUAGUGCAAGAAGCAUCAGGGCCUAACUAUACUGGUUGCCAUGGUCCACAAGUCCAGUUAGGUGAGCCAACCCAAAUUGAAGAAGCGCACAGUCGAUGGUCUUUCCCCCAAGUGUCUGUACCCUCCGUCCCUUAGGGCCUGUUUGGAUACAGGCUCAUAAAGUUUAGUACCAGUCACAUCGAAUGUUUGGAUACUAAUUAGGAGUAUUAAAUAUAGUCUCAUUACAAAACUAAUUACACAGAUGGAGUCUAAUUCGCGAGACGAAUCUAUUAAGCCUAAUUAGUCCAUAAUUUGACAAUGUGGUGCUACAGUAAUCAUUUGCUAAUGAUGGAUUAAUUAGACUUAAUAGAUUCGUCUCGCGAAUUAGUAUAGGGGUUCUGCAGUUAGUUUUAUAAUUAGCUCAUAUUUAAUCCUUCUAAUUAGCGUCCGAACAUCCGAUGUGACCCCUCCUAAAGAACUUUAGUACAUCGCAUCCAAACACCUCCUUAAUAACCGUCGCUACGGAAACGAGCUGCCUCACGCUUCCCAAGCUACCACGGAGGGAGUAUUUCCGGACGCUUGAUGACACUAUUGAUGGCUGCAGUACAGCCCUGCUCCUGCUCCUCGCAAGAAUAUAUAGCACCGAUCGUCGACUCACCUGUUGCGUGAUGAUGAUGAUUUGUCCUCCGCCAUGGCCAAUAACGACGUGUACGAUCGAUGAUCUCAUAAACUGAAUAUACAGUAACAGCACACAUUUUGUUCCUUGAGAUGAGGAAAGCACGCGAGCAGGUGGCAUUUUCCUUUCACCGAUCGAUCGAUCGAUAGAUGUCAACUGCAGCUAAUAAAAAGGAAAAAAAAUGACGUGGGGAAAUUGACCGGUGUAAAGAAGGAGGCAGGCAGGCGGGUCGAGGGACCGUUGUUUUCAAACUGGACGCGACGGAGUACUGGCCUUGGAAAGCUCCGUUGUUUCUUCUCCUCCUCCCAUUAUUUGUGUCAGUGCAGCGCCGGCGCUGCUCCAUUCCAUAUUUCCAUCGUCCAAUGCAAUCGGAAUCGGAAUGGAAUGGUCCUGCCAGGCAAAGCAGCCACCACGCACGCCUUUCGAGUUCCCUUUCGGAAUUGGUGAGCUAACUUCGAGUACCACCAGUUUUCUUUCUUUCUCUGAGAGGAACUUUAUUCCCUCCUUCCAAAUUACUAAUUAUUUUAAUUUUUCUGAAUACACAUCUUUUAAUAUAUAUAUCUAGAUAUAUACUAACAAAAGUGAUAUAUUUAGAAAAGCUAAAAUAAAUGGUAAUCAGUCAUCUCACUCAUCAAUUUUUUUUGAAAAUCCCCACUCAUCAGUUAGUAAAGACUACUAGAGAGGAAAUUCGCGGUGAUAUAAAAAGGCCCACUCCGAGCAUUUUCUUCUCCGCUAGCUUGCGGAUGGGCCAACGGGAACUGUGAUCUCAACCGGAAUCGCGCGCGUUGGAAGCCCAUCAGGCUGCAAAAGGGCUAACUGGGGCUUUCCCUCGCGCAUGUUUUGGACGUACAAAAGAGGCUGGGAACCUCGGGCCGAAACUUAAGCCCAAGGAGCCGGGUCAACCAAGAGAACAAGAGGUAGAGCGUGAACCUCUCCUGGCCUCACGGUCACCAAGCUAACCUAUAUGUGCAUCGUGAGAGCGCAAAGCGUCAACAUAUCCACCACAAAGUAAGCAGCUCAUACAACAAACAUGGCCAACAAGAAGAUGGUCGCCGCCGUGGCGGCACUGCUCCUGGUCGCCAUGGCGCUGGCUCCGGCGAGCGCCAUGGACUGCAAGGCCGGGUGCGCCGAGCUCAAGGACUCCCCGCUCGGCACCGCCGACUGCGAGAAGAAAUGCGCCGAGAUCGCCGCCUCCACGGGGAGCCGUGACCCAUGGAAGGAAUCCAAGUGGGACAUCCCGUAAACACGUCGCCGGCAAUCACGCAGCAGCAGCACAAGUCGACGUCCUUCACCACCGUACCUGCCCGGCUACACCCGCAAUAUAAUGUUGUUUCCCAUUUCAUUUAAUUUUCUGCCUGACGGCUUUUUAUUGUGUUCAUGAACAAAGUCAGAUCCACAGAUCGACCGAUCUGUAAUAUAUAAUGUGCAUUUUUCCAAUGUCGAUCAAGAUGUUUGUUCAUUUUGUACGUACUCGACAGAUACAUUGAUCCAAAUGCAAUGGAGAUGGCUUUAUUUAAAUUUUGUUUUCAAGCCAUCUGGUUACAUGCGUAUUCCACAUGGAUGGAGUGCAGUAGAUCCUCUGCAUACUUGUGUGACUUGUGAACGGUCGCAUGCAUUGCCAAUGAUUGUACCGAGUGCUGUACCUUGGUCCGUUUUGGUCUGAUCUGGCCAAACCGGUGCAGCACGCUUGGGACAGGGGCAUCGAACUCGAAAGUCUUUCUGACGUAAAUCCAAGGAAAUGCAAAAUUCUUCGGCGUCCUACGGAAGAAGACGUGAUUUUAUAGUGAUACUUUCCUGAAGAAUGAAAAUUAGAUGUUAAAUGACAAAUACUAGCAAAGUUGACAGUCGUACGGCAAAUUUUGCUAUGAACAAAUGCCGUGAGAGAAUUUAUUAAGCAGAUGUUAAAAUGAGAGAGAAAUAUCUUUAUAAUAUAUACCAACUCUAAGGCUAUAUCUUAUUAAUCAGAAACGUUGUCCUCUGGAGAAUAUAUAUAAGGGGCCAGAGCUCCGUGUAUUUUUUUUUAAAAAAAAUAGCUUUGCUACUGUUUUCCUCAUCACGGCACACGUGUCCUAGCGUUAGGACUCUUCCGUUUUUACUUGCAACUGAGGUAGGAUUUUAGCCUGUAUAGUUUGCUUAGGACCUUCAAUGUAAUCUGGUUAUGACUAUUAUCAUGUUUUAUAUCAUCCAUUUCUAUAUUAAAUUAAACAGAACAUUGCUCGUAUAUCCGACAUUGACCCUUCACCCAUGCAUACGUAGCAUUUACUUUCCCUACUUGACUACGCCAGCACUCAAGGAAUAAACAAAGACGCAAGAAUUUGAUUCGUCCAAUGCAAAAGUGCUGCGACAAAGGGCGAAGCCGACAGUGCAGGUGCAGUUGGUGCGUGCAACUCUACUUCGCCUCCAUUUUAAAGUAUAGAUUAUUUUACUUUUUGAUACAUCUAGAUAUAGAUUAUAUUCAGAUUCAUAGCAAAAUUUAUAUGAUCAAAACGACCUGCAUUUUUUAAUGGAAGGAGUAUCUAAUAAACUAUCGUUGCCAUUGUUGUCAUAGUCAAUUUAUAUGGGUAUACUCCCUCCAUACUCGCAAAGGAAGUCGUUUUGGACAAGACUUGGGUCAAACAUUGGGAAUAUAAAUCAUGAAUAACUUUUAAGUUGUUGAGUUUGGAAAUGUGAAAGCCAUAUAAAUAGAUUUGUCUUGAAAAAUACUUUCAUAAAAAUAUACAUAUAUCACUUUUUGAUAAAUAUUUUUAUAAAAACAAGGAGUCAAAGUAAUACUUUGGAGACCGUGUCGCUGUCCAAAACGACUUCCUUUGCGAGUAUGGAGGGAGUAUAUAUAAAGGCCAACUGGCCAAGUCUACUCCAAAUCUCCUGCAUGCCAACGAUCAUUUUGUGCAUAUUUAUAUUUCGCGCGUAUAAAAGUUUGUGUCCCACUGGCUUUUUUCUUUGAGACAUGUGAUUGAUUAGAAUAUUCGAAACCCUGAUCAUUAGCUUGGUAUUAAUUCCCCAGCUCCAUAUCACCAAUACAUAUAGCCCAAACGGCCGAAACACGCGCAAACUAGCGCUCCGGCCUUCCCAAACUGAAUCAAGCAGCGAGGCAGCGGCAGCAAGCCCCUCCCUCCGCCACUCCUGUCAACCAUGGCCAACGGCAGCAGGCUCGGCGGCGGCGCCGCCGGGGGGUUCUGCAGAGGCUUCUGCGGGCUCGUCUUCGUCGUCGGCUUCAUCGUGCUCCUCUACUGGGCCAUCUUCCAGCCCCACCACAUCCGCGCCACCGUCGAGACCGCCACCCUCUCCAACCUCACCGUCUCCAACGCCUCCGCCGCCGCCGCCGGCGUCUCCUACCACCUCGCCGUCAGCCUCGGCCUCUACAACCCCAGUGUCCGCGUCAACAUCUACUACGACGCCAUCUCCGCCGAGCUCCGAUUCCGCAGCGCCGUCAUCGGCCCGGCCGCCAACGACACCUCCCCGUCCGUGUUCUACCAGCUCGCCAGGACCAGCGACGACGUGCAGCUGGAGUUCGACUACGGGAGGCCGGGCGGCGUCGGCGUCGGCGGCGACGUCGCCGGGGAGCUGGAGAAGGAGGUGAAGAGCGGGGGGCCGGUGAGGUUGGAGCUGCACGUGGACGUGCGCGUGAGGUACAAGUUCAGGAUGUUCAAGCUGCGGCAGAAGCCGAGGAUAUGGUGCUCGCUGAGCAUUCCGGUCAAGGCGGAGGGCCGGCGCCGCGGCGUCGGUGGCUCCGUUGCCUCCGGCGACCGGUGCAGGGUCAAGUACUGAUGAAUGUUGGUACUUUUGUGCUUAAUUUCUUGCUUGGAGAGGUGAGCUAUUCUCAAUUCAAUUCGUGCAAAGAUAGUCGUUAAUGCUGUUCGUUAUCUUAACUCUGGUAUUGUUUGUGAAUUGACAUUUGACAAUAAGAUUCGUAAAAAUAUGAGGUACCUCUUCAACAUCAGUAUGUACAAACGAUGCAAUGUCCAGACUCGUAGAGUAUAACAAACUUAUGGCAUGCUUGUUUCUUGAUGCUUGCAUAGUACAAUGUGUGAUGCGUCUAGAUCUAUUAUACAAGGAUUGGAGAUGUGAGUAUACGGUAGUCGUCAUACAGCGCAAAGAACACAAGGUGUAUACAUGUUCAGGUUUCGCAGAGUAUAAAGACCUCGUAUAAUGUUUGUUCCGAGUCAACUCUCGCUUUAACAUGGUUAUCCCAAGAUUGUAAAUAACUUACUGCUCUUCUACUAUAAUGAUAAGGCAGAGCACCUGCCGUAAUUGCUCAAAUAAGAACUACUUCUAACUUUAUUUAAAGUCAAACUAUUCUAAGUUUGACCAAGUUUAUAAAAAAAAUAUUAACAUAUAUCCCAUCAAAGAAAUAAAUUGUAAAAAAUAUACUUAAUGAUAUCCAUUUUUGCCAUAAAGUAUUAAUAGUCUUUUCUACAAUUUUAGUCAAAUUUAGUUUGACUUAAGUCAUAAGUUCUCAUAGUCAUAGACGAAUGGUGCUUGACCAUAAAGAGUUUGACCAUUAGGUGACCAUAGGCUAACCUUAUGACAGAUGCAUGAACAAUCUUCAAAAGAUAACCUAGUCAGAUGGAGGUCCUGAUUGCACCGUACUUAGUCGUAGACUGCUAGGUAUGCAUAGCAGGAUCCUGCAACUGGUACUGUUGUACAUAACCUUCGUGCCAUGUUUUGAUUUAUCCGUAUUAUAUCAUCAUAGCUGAAUAUUCAUCAAAUGGUCGAUAAUGUGCGCACGCUUGACGCUUCUCACCACUGACAUUUCGUGGGGCGUGUCACUAGAACAUUCCAAACCCUGAUGGCCUGAUCACAGGCUUGGUAUCGGUUCCUGUAGCUCCAAAUCGUCAAUGCGUAACACACGCGAAGUAGCCCCCUCCUCCGUCCGUCAUAGUAUCAACCAGCUGCAGUGCAAUUGCUGCACCAACCAGCAGCUAAGCUCCUCCCCCUGUCCAGUGUCCACCAUGCCCGGUGGCGGCGGCGACACAACGACACAACGGCACCUCCCCGUCCGAGUUCUACCAGCGCGGCAAGACCGGCGACGAGAUGACGCUGGAGUUCUGGGUAACAGCAGUAUAAAGCUCCCAGUAUAAGGCCCUGUUUGCUUCCGUUUCUCUCAGCUAUGCUCCAUUACAAUCUAAGCGAAUAUUUUUUUACUUCUCUUUCUCGCUUUUCCCUUCAUGUAAUUCAAAUAUAUGAAGCGGCUUACCAUGUAAGCGAGAAUCUGAAAAAAUAAGCAAGACGUUUGGUAGGAUUUUUUUGUUUAUUUUUGCUUAUAAGCGGAAAUAAAUAAGACCGAAGGGAUGCUUUUUGUCGUUUGUUGGGCUUACAGGCCGUACAGGCGCGGCCUUUUCUGGUGCAGGCCCAUGUAUUCCUUCUCCCAUCUUUUAUUUUGGCCCGCGCAAUAUGGGGAGCACCGCGUAGCCCAUGUGGCCCAGGCCACCAGAAGAGCAGAGAGCAGCCCAUGUCGCUCGCUGCGGCGGCGAGGAGGCGUGGGCUGGAUCGUCCUCUUCUCUCUCGUUCCCGGCCGGUUUUGCCGCACCAAGUCAAGUCACUCCCGACCCAAACUGAUGUUCCUAUCACCAGCUAGCUUUGGCCAUGAGGUCUCGACAGCAGGGCAGCGCUCAAGGAAAGAAAACACAAAGACCUGAUGGUAGCGUGCACAUGCGGUUUCGAAGUAGCCAACAAGUACGUCUCGCCCAAUAAACCAAGCGACCCAAUGGUACCAAGGGUUGGUCAAGGUCAAUUCAUAGAUCCAAUUGAGCAACCAAGACGCAGCUCAACUCCGAAAUGCUAACCGAAGUUCUAUGCCGCAAGCUUUGAAAGUACUAGCCCCUUCACGCAACUAUCUUAUUUCCAUUCCCCGGCCAUUCGAUCAUCCAAUUAUGUUCGCUCAAUUAUUUGGACUUCGUGGGGUAGAGGGUGACAGCAGCGGGCGAGCUAGGGCGGUCAACGGGGGCUAGCAAACAGGGUGUGCUUCACUCGAAAAAAGAACGACAUCGGGAGGUUGAAGACGAUACGGAGACGGUUAGAUUGGAAACGUACGGCUGUCCUUCAUUCUCCAUCCUCCCCGCCCGCUCGAAAUCACCAAUAAAUAUAGCACAAACGGCCGUGCAAACACAAACAAACUGCCCUUCCCCGCAUCGACCAACAACCAUAGCGACGCGGCAGCAAGCCAGCAAGCUCCUCCUCCUCCUGCCCUGUCCACCAUGUGCUGCAGCGGCGACAACUGCUGCCUGCUCAAGUGCUGCGGCAAAUUGCUCUUGUUUCUCCUAUCAGCCGGCUUAUUCGUGCUCAUCUACUGGGCCAUCUUCCAGCCCCACCAGAUUCGCGCCACCGUCGGGUCCGCGACCCUAUCCAACCUCACCGUCUCCUCCGCCGGAGAGGUCUCCUACAAAUUCGCCGUCAGCCUCAGCCUCUACAACCCCAGCGUCCGCGUCGGCAUCUACUACGACACCAUCGACGCCGAGCUCCGCUUCGGGGACGCCGUCCUCGGCCCGGCCGCCAACGGCACCUCCCCGCCCGAGUUCUACCAGCGCAGGAAGACCAGCGACGACGUGAGGCUGGAGUUCGACUACGGGAGGCCGGGCGUCACCGUAGGCAGCGACGUCGCCGGGGAGCUCGAGAAGGAGAUGAAGAGCGGGGGGACGGUGAGCCUGGAGCUCGACGUGGACCUGCGGGUGAGAUACAAGUUCAGGAUUUUCAAGCUGCGCCAGAAGCCGAGGAUAUGGUGCUCGCUGAGCAUCCCGGUCAAGGCGGAGGGCCCGGGCCCGGGCGUCGGCGGCGCUGUUGCCCCCGGCGACCGGUGCAGGGUCAAGUACUGAUGAAUGCUGCUGGUUGAGUGGACUUUUUUCCUUUUGAUUUUGUUUUGGCGAGUAAAUGUUGGAUGGGCAGUUGUGCGCGUUUGUGCUUUCUUUGCUUGGAGCGAGAUUGGUGAGCUCAAGUUAAUUCCUGCGGAGGCAGAGAUCGUUAUUGUUAGUGACGCUAUUCUUGAUAUGAUGGAACAUUCAGUGUAAUAUUGGAUUAUUCAUUCAUUUGGGAGUAUAUGGCCAUGUUUAGUUUCCACCAAAAUCCUAACUUUGGCACUAUGCAAAAAGAAGAUUCCCCAUCACAUCAAACUUGCGGUAUAUGCAUGGAGUAAUAAAUGUAGACGAAAUCAAAAACUAAUUGCACAGUUUUGUUGUACUUUGCGAGACGAAUCUUUUAAGCCUAAUUAGUUAAUAUUUGGACAAUAAUUCACAAAUACAAACGAAAUGCUACAGUUGCGCAUUUAUAAUAAAAUAUCAAUUUUGCCACUCCCAAAUUGGGAACAAGGCCUAUGUAUAUGUCUAUAUAUAACGCGUGCAGUUUUGUUUUUUUGCUGGCUUCAGCGCCUUCAGUAUCUGGUGUAGCCCGGGCGCAGACAUACAGCCAUACAGGGCUGGGGCCCUGCAAAACCUCGCAGUCCACGCAUGCAUUUGCUCCGCCGCGCGCGACAAAACCUCGCGGCUUCGAAAUGAAUCGGCGUUCCGGACAGUGCGUGCGGCGCACGAAUGUCCCGUCCGUCCCCGGCCACUCACCACGCGCGCGCGAAGGCGAAGGCGAUUAGGCGAAUUCGCGGGCUCGUCGGCUUUCCUUCCUCGCACGUUCCGGCCACCGCGCGUGGCGGCGUCGCGCGAGCGAAUUUACCUGCGUCCAACGCGUCGGGGCUCCCGGCGCUACGCGUCUCAGCCGCGGCCCCGACUCCGCACGCGGCUGGGCGCCACCGGAUGGACCUAGAGCCCGGGCGGAGACCUGAGCACGCCCCAAGUCUUCUUCUCCGAUGCCUAAGGGGGGAGAGGAGCGGUUGGGUUGGGUACUUGCCGCACAGGGCGCACGCGUUUUCUUUUGUUUUUUCGUUCCGUCACGCCCCGAAGCGGCGAAGCAGCCCAGAAACAGGGCUCGUGCCCAAUAAACUAGUGACCCAACGGUACCGAGGGCUGCUGGUCAAGGUCAAUUGAUAGUAAUUGUACUAACACGAUUCCAAAACUGAACAGGCAAGUUGCAGCUACAAUGCCAACUCCUAAAUCAUAUUAUAAUCUCAAGUUCAAAUCUUGGAACACCAUCUCUCUUAGCAUGCAAAGCCACCUACAUUCCAUUUUAAGAGAAUCAUAAGUAAGAUUGCAUUAUCCAUUAGUCCUGCGUGUUGCCACAUAUCUAUAAAACUUUUUGCCAAGACAAUUAUAAUUACCUCUCGGACAAACUUUUACUAAGCUUUUGGAAUGCUCGUUAGCCUUAUAUUUUUCAAAGAAGCUGUAUACCGCACGCACGAGUGCUGGAACCCUCUCGAGCACUCGAUUUUUAUGUCCGUAGGAUCUCGUAUCGAUGGCUCAGAUCGAUCCUUCUCUCUCCUCCUUAUCUCUUUAUCACCUUCCCCAUCCGCUCGCCCGAGAAGGCUCCCGCAGCCCGCAGCCCCGACGGCGACGGUGCAAGCCGGCUCGCCCCCGUGCUCCACCGCCACCAGAGUUGCCGCCCUCCACCACAGCCCCGCCUUAACUCUCCCAGUGUUGCCCCUAACCAUCUUCUUCCUCAAAUCCGGUCACGCUCCCCUGAUGCCGACGACUGCCCUCUCGGCUUCGGCGGCACAACGUUGCCGCCGACACUAACCGAUUGAAGCUCGAUGCCCCCGCCACCUCCACCGCCCAACCGGAGGUCCACCACUGCUGCCUCACCGCUGUCUCCCCUGCCACCACCGCCCGCUACCCUGCCGCACAGAGCUCCCUCUAAGUUCGCCGGACAUUGGUAAGCCCCAACCCCUAAACCGUACAACCCUAAAAGCUCAUUGGCAACCCCUAACCCCGAAGCCUAAAGCUCGCCAGAUGAGUCACCAUUGCCGGAGGAGAAGAGAAGCAAUGCGUAUGUGAUUGGUCAGAAAAAUCAAGUGUUGAAGCUCUCAAAAACACUAGUGUAGUUUAGCAUUCCCUCUUUCAAAUGUUUCAAUCGAAAACACACACAUCAAAAAAAAAAGAAAAAACGCGUACACGCUUCUGAAAAAAAAAACCCUCCAAACAUUCAAUCAGUACGAAGAAGUACUGAUAAAUAUCCCAAGAGGCCAAGUCAUCACAACUCGCACCAACUAGUCCACCAACGAGCUCACCUCCCCCUCCUCCUUCCUCCGGCCGUUGACCAACAACUCCAGCAAGUGGCACAGAGGCAGCACAGCAAGCUCCCCCUCCGGCCUCCGUCUCCUGCCCACCAUGUCCGGCAGCGGCCGGAGCCGCGAGAAGACGUGCUGCAGCAGCUGCUGCACUCUUCUCAUCUCCCUGGGCUUCGUCGUGCUCAUCUACUGGGCCAUCUUCCAGCCGCACCAGAUACGCGCCGCCGUGGAGUCCGCCGAGCUCUCCAACCUCGCCGUCUCCAAUGCCUCCUCCCCCGUCGCCGUCACCUACCACGUCGCCGUGAACCUGAGCCUCUAUAACCCCAGCAAGCGCGUCAACAUCUACUACGACACCAUCGACGCCGAGCUCCGCUUCCGCGGCGCCGUCCUCAGCCCGGCCGCCGCCGCGGCGUCCCCCUCCGAGUUCUACCAGCGCAGGAAGACCGCCCAGGCCGUGCGCCUCGAGUUCGACGGCAAGAGCGUCGCCGUCCCCGGCGACGUGUCGACGGAGCUCGAGAACGAGGUCAAGGGUGCGGCGAUGCUGGGCCUGGAGCUGAGCGUCAACGUGCGGGUGAGGUACGUGUUCGGGAGCAUCAAGAUACGGCAGAAGCCGAGGGUUUUGUGCGCGGUGAGCAUCCCGGUCCCGACGACGCCGGGCGGCUUCAGCUUUCUUGGCUCCGGCGACCGCUGCUGGGUCAAGUACUGAUGAUUGGAGUCGUCGGUCCAGCUCCCUUCUCUUGGUGGUUUCUGAUUGGAGAUUAGUGGCCGGUUUUGGUUUUGAUUAUUCGUGCAAAGAUUGCUACUGUUUGGGAAAUAUACUUGUUCCUGCAUUUGUAUUUGCCUUAGAAUUUACUGUGCUAUUGGAUUAUUUGUUAGCCCGGUGAGUGGUUAUAAAGUUAUAAAUCACAAGAACAUAUGGUUGCUUCUCAUGUCGAUCUUGUUAAACUUGAACAUGCGCUCUUGCAUUUGAUUGGAGGCUUAGCUUGACCAACCUUGUGAUAAAUUGUAUUGGCAGUUCAUUGAGCUCAUGGUAUUAACGUCUUGGCUGGUUAAGAUGUAGGGUCAUUGACUUGAUAUUGCUCAAGUCAACACCCGGCCAUUUGUGCAGAGGAUGGCUCUGUUCGUCCCGUCGAACAAAAACAUCCACAUCGCCUGGCUGGCAAUGGCAAGGCCACGAGUGGUGUUCAGUCGACAGGUCUCUCCAGGACCAGCAAAGCCGACCAGGAGUACAGAUGCUUGCUGUCUUGCUGACGAUAAUGAGCUGUUCUGGAUUUGCUCGCAGUAGAUGGAGACGCACAAUUUCAGGCGAAACGGCACACCGUCUCACCAGGCGCAUCCUCUGCGAGGAAGGAAGAUUCAGUUUCAGGGGAUUCUUUUUUGCCAGAUUCUCGUAAAGUACCGUCUACCGUUCUGGCAAACUUGCCACAAACGCCUGACUUUGAAUUUGCACUUUCUUGAAGGGUCUGUCAUACAGAAUAGUUUGGGCUUUAAUAGGCCGGCUCGGACAAUGGGCCGAGUUCACGUUUUCACCCCGAACUCGAAAACCGUCCGUUCUGACUCCUAGUACUCGCGAAACCGGACACGUGACCUUCUUUCUCAUCACGAAUCCACCCUGGUUUUAUCCGACGUGGCGCCACGUCAUCGUUCUUAUGUGGCAACCUGUAUGAUGGGCCCCACCCGUCACGUCAUCCUCUUCUUCAACCUCUCUUUCCCUGUCUCCUUCUCUCCCUCCACCCGUCUCGCGCAGGCGCCCAUGCCGGAGCCCGCGGCGGCGAUGUUGCCGGCGUGCCCCACGCAACUACUCCAGCCCCGCGAGUGCCGCUCCGGCGCGUCGCCGCUUGCUGCUCCCCCGCCCGAGCCCAAGGCCGGAGCCCCCUGCAUGGCAGCAGCCAAGAGAUGCGCGGGAAUGAGAGUCAAGGGGAUGGAGAGGGACAGCAACGCUUCAAUUGGAGCGCAUCAAGCUUGAUUCAAUGGCGCUGUUUGUCGAUUUGAUGUUCCUGAUGCUAGUUAUGGCUUGGCUAUGCUCAAUUUGGCGGCUCGUUGAUUUGGCCAUCCCCUAGGAUGUGCUGCGUUGCGCCCGCACAGCUCGCGGGAGAGGGAGGCCUGGAGCCGGCGAUGCAGCCGAGCUGUCUGCGACGGUGGGAACAAAGGUGACGCGGCGAUCCUUGUGGUCGCCGGAGUUGGGGUGAGCGGCUGAGUUGGAUAGCACGGACGGCUGCAGAAACCAGGGACGCGUUCCGCGUUCGCGGGCGAGGCAUGAAUGCAAGCACGGGUGCGGCCGUGCGGGCAACUCGAGGAGGCGGGUUCCUCCAGCCGAAGAUUACGGUGCUCAAGAGGAAGACCAGGAUGAUUCCGUCUGGCUUGUGUUGGAUGGAUUUCCUUUCGUUUGUUUCCUAGCUUGUUUUGUAUGGAUUUCCAUUUCCAUGUCGAUUGCUUAAUCAACUAACGAUUUUAUUCCCAAUCCAAGGGAAAUUGACAGAAGGGCCACCGGAGAUAUGCUCGUCGUCGUACGACAGUUGGGUGGUCUGAAGCUCGAUUUGUUGUGAUCUAGGAGUACAAAUCAUUAUACCAGCGACGACCGACGAGGGAGAACGGUCUGAUCUCCCUUUCUGCCGUGUCCGCCGCUCUGGGCCGCGCUCUCAUGGUCGCCGCUCGGCCAUGGCCGCCGCCCUGGCCCGCGCUCUCAUGGUCGCCGUUUGCUAUGGCCGCAGCCCGCAGCUAAGAGAGAGCCAGAGAGGGCAGAAGAAGAUAACGGGGAUGACAGGUGGGGCCACCGAGAAAGUUGCCACAUGGGAUGCGUGACAUGGCGCUACGUCGGUGAAAACCGGGAUGCAUCCGGAUCUAGGUGGUCCUGUAUCUGGUGGUUUCAAGAGUUCGAGGAGGCGAGACGGACGGUCUUUGGAUUUAGAGAGGAAACGUGGACUCGGCUCAUAGUGAAAGGAGGUAAAUAUGACUUCUUCCUUUUUUAGUUGUUUACUUGGGCUCCCACCUCUAACUGGGCCAAACUCAAAGCAAUUAGUAGGCCGUCGUCUCCGCACGUGCGUCAAGUAGGCCAGUACAAUCUCAUGGGCCACAUUAGGUUCUGAGUGCCUUUCUGGGCCGAAGAAGGUUCCAGUGACGAUAAAUGCUCAUGGCCUCAUGGGCCAUAUAGGGGCGUCUUAUUCCGAUUCCUGAAAACAACGUCCAUUCUAAUGGUGUGGCCAGGGACACUGGCAAGACCUGCGCAUGCACAUGACAUUUUCUAUGAGAGUGAGGUGAGGUCCAUUCCGGCAGGCAGCAGCCGCAUGCAUUGCACAGAUAGCCCUAACUUCGAUGAUGAAAGAAGGAAAGCAAAAGGGCUAAAGCCUUGGGGGAUAGUUCUUUCCUUUUCCUCCAAGGCUGGCCAAGUGGAAAUUUUGUCUGCACUCGCCUCUUGCACGCAGCCGCAUAGCUAUCGGAGGUUGAAGAAGUCUGCAAACUUGUUCCUGCUACUUGACUGCAAUCGGUCGACCUGCUUUUCUUGUAUACUGAGUACCGAUGACCAAUAGAUCGAGGCAUGUCAGGUGCAAAGCAAACGCUUUUGCAUCGUGUCGUUUUCCUCUUUGGGUGUGAUAUAUACUCUGCUAUAUACUCCUUCCGUUUCAAAAUGUAGGCCGUUUUGACUUUUCUAGAAACAUAGAGAUUUUGCUAUGUGUCUAGACAUAACUUUAUAUUUAUGUGUAUAGUAAAAUCUAUACCUCUAGAAAAGUUAAAAUAACCUACAUUUUCGAACGGAGAGAGUAUACAUUUCUUGCAGUAGACAUGCAUCCACCGUAUGCAGUAUGCUACCAGCUAGUAUGACUAUAACAAACCAACUAAAGGAACACAUAUAUAGAUCUACCAUGCAGCUGGAUUUUACUUGAAUAUGGAGCUUUCCAAAAUAUAAUUUGUUUUAGUUCUUUUAUCUAAAUAAAAAAUCUCUAAUUCUGAUCAGGCCUCUCCUCGUAUAGAAAAUUUCAUUACGAGGUGCUCCCUCCAUCCCACGAAAAGUACAAUCGUAAUCUUAGGAAUUGGACUGCAAUUACUGCCUAAUUAAGUGGUCAAGCUAACUCUAUGCCAAAAUUUAACUUCCGGGGACAAUGGGAUAAUACUGGAUUCGGAUUUUUUUGAAAAUGGACACCACCUUCAAAGUGUGAAGCAAAUAAUAAAACACAUAGGAGUAUCAUUUGAGAAACAAAGACCACACGCCUACACAUGCAUGAUCAUCUACGUGGCAUUAUAUAUCCUUUGCACGUCGCAACAAGCUUUUUAUUAUUGCUGGUCUCCUACGUGCAAAGAUGUCAUUCAAGUGCUUUAGGUAGCACCCAAUCUUAAUAAAGUCUAGAAAAUGCUCAUUCUAAUAAGAAACUAUUUGUAACUGGAGUCGCUUGUUGCUAAGGUUUACAGGGAAAAGGUUAGCUAUCUUUGCCAACAACACUUGUCUAGAGUUUGUAUACAAAGUUGGGAACACUUUUGAAAGGUAGGGGAAAGGCAAAGUCUAAUGAAACAGACACCAACAUUAUCUCCAAACACCAGUCCACAUCGUAAUAACUGUAUAAAAUAAUGGCAUUGUGUGUCUGGUUUGGUGUUCAAUUUAGGGACUUUCUCUUAAUGAGAAGCCACCUCCCAAAAUCCCAUAUUUACCUGUUCAUUUAUCAGGGGAUGAAAAAAAGUUGUGUUUGCCAUUUUUUAGCGAGGAAAGGAAUUAAAGCCCAUUAUAUAUUACUCAGAAGCAAUGUUACAUUCUCGAGCGAUAAUUUUCUCAACACAAAUUGGAAGUUGUGUUUGCCAUAUGAUCCUACCGAACAUUGAAACCUUUUAAUUUGAGUACAAAUGAUGAUUGGGCCUAAAUAGGACCUUACCUUUUGAUUCCACACGAUAUUCUCUGUAGAAAAUCCAUAAUGACAAAAAUGACGGUUAAAUUUCAUUUCCUGGUGGAAAAAGUGUAAUAAAUACCACAUACACAUAAACCAACAAUAUAAACAGGAAAAUAUAAAAUCCCAAAUAGCGUACAUGCACUACUGGAAGAAUAAUGAUAAUGUAAAUGCGUAAAACAUAUUUUUUUUUGAAAGGUCACGGGGGAAGGUCCCCACCUGAAUUCAUUCAUUCAUUAGGCCUUGGGCAGGCCAAAGUCUUACAGCUUAGGAUUUCAGCAUGGGGGAAAAACCUUUUGUUUACAAUCAGUGAUUUACAUUGAAUUAAAGAGGAGGCACCAUGCUUCAGGGAUCGAUUUUUCUUCAACUCUGAACAUAUAUUUAAAACAGGAGGAUGUAUAUACUACAUGUAGAGACAAGAUACAGUUUGACAGCUCCUUUCAAGAAGAAAGUAGUAUGGGGCUUCUCCCCUUUUGAGAUAGAGCAAAAGGUAGUAGAGGUAAAAACACAAAAGCAUAACGAGAUACACACAAUCGACUGUACAGACUACAAAGCUUGUGGAAAGAAUAGAUGGUCACGGGAGGAAAGAGAGAUGCACAGAAUACACGGAGGACAGUACACAUGUCGUCAAUUUUUACCUCUGAAAAGCAGCAAACGGCAAGUGCCCUACUUACACCUGGUUUGCGUAUUCUAGUGAUCUAUAUCAUCAGAUGUUGGGUGAGGGGCUGCUGAUAGAGGAGAUUAAAUAUAUCUUUCUAGGAUUCUAAAGCAUCAAACUUUAGGGCCUAAUGACCAGGGAGAGAUGCUUAUCAACUUUGAUCUCCUGCCUGCUUUCCUCCAGCCUAAGCUUUUUCACACCCACUGCUUUAAGAUGGCAAUGCGGAUUUGGAGAUCUAAAGCACGAAAAAGAGGAUACUUUUUUUUUCUUUUUUUCUCAAAUGGCAUCACCAUACUACGCACUAAAAGCAUAUACCUUUUGGUCAUCUCUACUGAAUGAAAGAUUUCAGCUCGUUGCCUUGUAAAGUGCCGCCUCCUUUCUACAAACCCGAAGUCUUUAAUCAUAUCAGGACAACACAUCGAUACCAAAGAAAUACACUGUGAUCACCACUCCAAGUACCGAAACAUUGUGUUUACGAUUCUACUGAUCGAUUCAGGUGAAAUGAGAAACCACUAUGCAAGCCAUCUCUGGUUGCACUUCAUACAGUUUUGAGAUUCAAGCAUGCUAGAGUGGAAACCCUCCUCUAUCUUCUCCCCCAUUACCUUAUCCAACAGAAAUCUGAAAGGCAAUUCAAUAGGAUAUUAUACUACUAGGGUGUUGCUCGGACAAGUAGUUGGGAAACCUAGCCAAUGGAUGCACGACUGCACGAGCAUAUAUGCUCAGUUGUUUCCAUGAAUCACACCAAAUAUAAACUGAUAUGAUGCUUUCUUGAGUUAAGUAUAGGUGAUAUUGUUUUAACUUUGACCAGUAGAAUCUUUGUGAACGUUUAAAUUGACCAUAUGCGCGAAAAUGGCAUUUGUUGUUAUCUCAAGAAAACACUUCGAUAACAUUUGCCAUUCUAUCAUAAUUGUAUAAUAAUCUUAAAGCGAUGAAUCUAGCAGGGAAUAGUAUGUGGAAACAUGGAAAAACAAAGGAGCUGCAUGUGCAUGGUUUUUGUGCAUGCUCUCAAGAAAUCUUAUGGCGGUUCAUUAUACGCAAUCUGUAUUUUCUAGAUUUUGAAUAGUUUGGCUGAAACAGUGUCAGUGUACGUCGACGGCGACGGAAGUUUACUGCUGUUGCGGUACUAUGGUUAUAUUAGUGGAUGCCAUUUUUUUAUGAAUGGAUAUACAAGAUGGCCCUUGUUUACUUCGCGAAUUUGGGAGGUGCCAAAAUACUGUAGCAACACUGUAGCGUUUCGUUUGUAUUUGUGAAUUAUUGUCCAAAUAUUGACUAAUUAGGCUCAAAAGAUUCAUCUCGCAAAGUACAACAAAACUGUGCAAAUAGUUUUUGAUUUCGUCUACAUUUAGUACUCCAUGCAUGUACCGCAAGUUUGAUGUGAUGGGGAAUCUUCUUUUUGCAUAGUGUUAAAGUUGGGAGUUUGGAGGUAAGAGAACAAGGGCAUGAAUAGUUUGGCUUGGUCCUUGGAGCUAGCCUGACAUCGCACAAUGCAACGUUCAUGAACUUGGCUUUUGCUACUCCUCCUUAAGUUACAAGAUGCAUAGUUUCGCUAUGUUUUCUUGAAAAAAAUAUAUAUUCAAGACAAACAAUAUAGCAUCAUCAGCAACAUGUAAAAUUGUCAUCAAUUGAAGCAUAGCUAAUCACACACUAUUUCUCAGUUAACAUUGGAAGAAGAAAACGCCAUCCACAGCUUUAAGGAUCUCCAUGUCAUUAGGCGGAGGACUCCUUUCCUCCCCUUCUCCGUCCAUGGCGGCGGCGCAGGCGUUCAAAUCCAGGCCGAAACGUGGCACGUCUCCUUUCUCUGUGCCAUCCUCUUCCACCUUGCUGUCGACGACGACGUCACUCAUGACACGUUGCUGCUUGACCAGCCGACGGGAGGAAACCCUAGAACUCGACUCAAACACUUCGUCACAGCUCACUACGAUGGCGUCCUCCAAGCUGACCGCGUCACCAUCGCAUCCCCUCACAGUUCCGGUCGCCAUGGCGUUCUUGAUACCGUCUUCUGAGUCGUGCUCGGCGCCGUCGAUCAUCACGACACGGUGAGGGUUAUCGCGGAUCGUCUCGUACAACCUCUGCAUGUAGCCGUGCUCGUCGUCCGGCGACCUCUGCCUCUUGAGGCUGUCGCCGGAGUUGGAACCGGAGGGAGCCAAGGUUAGCUCUGGUGCGGUGAUGCAGGUGAACUCGGCGUAUGAGCCAAACACAAGCCUGGCGAGCUCCCGGGCCAUCGCCGUCUUGCCGUCGCUGUCCCUCCCUUUGAAGAGCAGCCACGUUGUUGCUGAGCUCGGCCGCGUCAUCCUUGUCACGCCGGAGCGGCGCUGGAGCACGGCGCUGGCGAUGCCCGGAGCUAUAUCUCUGUGGCGCGGGACGCGCGCCUCGAGUGCGCCGCACAGAAUCUUGAGGUUCUCCGCGGUGAGCUCGGUGAACUUCCGGCGGCGGCGAGCUGCAGGUUCCGUGGCGCCGUCCGAUGAGUUGGAUUUGGACACCGAGUUAGACGAUCCUGGAUUAGGGCUCGCGAUCAACUGCUGAUCGCAUGAGUCAGCCAUUGUUGGACCGUGGUGCCCGUGGUUCUGCAAGUGCAAGGGUUGCCGCCGGCGGUCGAUGAGAUCAUGCCGUGGCUCACAGCUCAUGUUGGCGUCGUGAUGGGCAAAGCCGCUGAGGGAGGAAGAGGCCGGAGAGGAGAAGCUCAGUGUGAGCUCCGAUCCGGUGGGAACUGGACCUUGUUGCUGGCAGCGGCGAAUCCACGAGGGGACGCUCGCCGCCGUCGCCAUGGCCAUAUCGGCGGCGCCGCAGUGUGUGAUCUCACUGAAAAGAACAAAUCCAUCGAUGUAAUUAAAAUCGUCCAGAAACACGUUGACUAACCGAAAAUAAAUAAACAAAAUGAUCGAAUUAACGCGUGCAUGCGACAGUGACACGCUGAUGAAGGAUCAAGCGCUAGUCGUGUGUACCUGUCGCCGGCGAGGCUGCCGUCCGGCACGAGGAUGGGGUGUAGCUCCAAGACGGCCUCAAGCGAGGGCUGCCCCGACCUGCAGCUCGUGUAGGACGCGUAGGCUGAGAAGCCCAGCAGCCAGAACAUGUCGUGGCCGCGGCCUCCGCCGCCGCGCACCAGGUUGCUCAGUUCCAUGACCGCGUGCUCGACGGGGCAGUAGUAAUAGCGGGCAUGCCCACUUCUCUUCCACGAGGCGGCGGCCCAGGCCUCGGCUGCGCAGGCGAGGUCCUCGAGCACGAGCACCACGCCUUUCCCGGCGGCGCGGGCCUCGCGAAUGAUCGCGCGCAGGUCGCCGGCCCUGGCGUCCACCUCCUCCCUCGGCAAGCGCUGGAAGGACGCGGCCGAGAAGGGCACGAGCUGGGCAUUCUUGAGGCACUCGUGCUGGAGCUGCAGGUCCCCCUUGCUCACCUUGUCCAUCACCGCCUUCACAACUCCCUCCGCGGCCCCCGCGCUCUCGCCGACGACCGCCACGCACCGGCUCCUCCAGCUCGCCAUGCAGUCCAGCACGCGCGCGGCGUCGCCGGCGGCGUCGGCCUUGGCUUUAUUGGACUCCCUGCUGGGUUUAGUAUUCGGGGAGGCGGCGCUGGUGGUGCUGCUCGCCGUGUUGGACGACUGCUGCUCCGGCGACGAGGCCGCCUUCUCGACGUUGGCCUUAACCUCGGCGCUGGAGAAGCCUGCCUCGCGCAUGACGCGGCUGACGCCGGGGUCGUCGAGGAUGGAGAUGACGAGCUGCUCGAGCUCGACCCUGGCGGCGACAUCCGCGGAGGUAGAGCCGGCGCCCCGGCGCUGGUUCGCCUGCGCGCGCUUGAACGCGGCGGCGAGCGCGUUGGACAGCGUGGGCGCGCGGUGCCCUCCAGCCGCGUGGUGGGCGUGGAACUGCUGGAACAUGGCCGGCGCCGGGGGCCCCGCCGUGGCGAGGCGGUUGAGCGCGACGUUGAAGCAGAGCUCGAGCGCCUUGCACUGGAGCGGGUGGGAGCUCGCCCGCGACCGGAGGCAGGCGGCGCGGAGGAGGCCCCCGGCGUCCGCGAGCAUGGCGCUGGCGGCGUGGAGCGGCGUGACCUGGGCGUGGCCCCGGCGCCGGGCCAGGCUCACCGCCUGCCGCAUCACGGCCGCCGCGUCGGGCGCCAGCUCCUGCUGCACCGCGCACCCGCCGCUCCGCAUCUCCUCUCUCUCCUGCAAGUACGACGCCGGCCGGCCGAACCCUACGAAUCCACCAGCUUGAUCUUCUGGCGGCUCUGCGGUACGUGUGCAGAUGGACGCAUGCAUCGAGGUUUAUCUGCUGCUAUAUGUCGCCAUGGAACGCAGCGAGGAGACAGGGAUCGGAGGAGUAAUUGAGCUGCCUGCGCUGAGUGUGUCGUGUCGUCCGUCAUGCCUGUUCCUGACUGGCUGACUCAUACUAGCAGAGACGACUGUGAGCGACUGACAGGGAGGACGGUUCAUGAGAUUCGCUUGAUCGUUGCUGUCGGGAUGUAUUAUGUACUGUACAUAUGUUAUCGGCUUGUGACGUCAUACACACACCCCAUAACACGAAAUGCUAAUUUCCAACUGGAUUUAUUUGUAUUUAUAAGGUGGUAAGUGCAUUUAUUUGUACGAUAUGGUGUGGUUUUUUUUCCCUUGCUUUCUGUAUGCAUUCUGUAUGCAUGAGCUGAAAUAUCCUGUGCUUUGAACGAGCACCCUAGAUACUGACGGUUCAGGAGUGCGUCCACCUGAACAUUUCAUUCGAAGGAUCCGACGGCCGGCAAUGGCCGUGGGAUGAAUUUUCAAGACGGCCAUGAUGCCGAAGCGACAGAGGAGAAAAGGUGAGGCUUCCAGGGGGAGGUAUCGACACGCCUGGAUGUACUUCUACCAGCUACAAAUACAAAUCCGAAAUUGUAGCCGGAGCAAAAGGAACUUGGUUGUCUAUUUUCUGAGUAAUCAAAACUUCUAGAUUGUGAGCGUGUGUUUGCUCAGGUUGUACACAAUCAUGUAAUAUAGGCUUUAGGGUCUGGUUGCACGCUAAUCGUGCGUUGUAUUCAAACUUUUCCUUCUAAGAUACGUAAACAUUUUCCGGCUUCCAAUCAUCAUCCCCUAAUAAACUAUUGUGAUUGAGUACGUAAACAUGGACAUGCAACAGUUGGAUAGCAGCUUAUAUAAGUACAGACCUCCCUGAGGACGGGUCUGAAGUGACUGCAUCAACGCAGGUGAAGCUAAAUCUCCAGUACAAAUCUAUGCAUCUGCCCGGCCGGGGUCCAGAACCCGCUGGACAAGGUUGACCCCUGAAUACUUGAUCGAUAGUGGUCCAUGCGUAAUACGGAGUACUCGUUACCCUGUUCUGCUACCCAUCUAACUUUGUGAUUCGAUCCAUUGCAGCAAAUCGUGGUUACGAAUUCGUCUCUGGCUAACCAAGCCUUAAGCUAUCAUUUUGAGUGCAAAUUCUAUGUAUAUACCAGCUGGCUGGAUGUCAACUCAUUCGGCCUGUUUGGCUGGACUUAUAAGCCGGCUGAAACGGCUGAUUUGUUGUGAGAGAAAAAUAUUAUUUGGUGGCUGAUAAGUCAGUUGAUAAGCUGAAGCGAACAAAGCCAUUUGUCUUGUGGAUCUGUGCUCUAACCAAGUUGGGUCUCGAAGAAGUGCUAUAAGGAUGGCCUUGUACAUUGUACUCCCUUGAGGAUCCAACGUAUUUAUUAUCCUGGUGUGCCGCAGAGCUCGCGCCUGACUCACCGACUGAUUGCAUGCGGUAGGCAGUAGAGUUGGCAGUGUGCACAGUAGCUCUGGUCGAUGGCGCAUCAGGACCCGCCGGUGAAGCUGCGGCACGUAGUACGGUAUGUACGCCCGGCUCCCAAAAUCAAUUGCACAUUUUUCAUCAUGCCUCGCCCGGCCCGGUGCGUGCGUACAUAAUAUCCACGUCAAAUCAACUCACUUACGGGUAAAACGUUGCCUGCACUCAAGCUAGGAAGACGUGAAAAUAAUGAGAGCUAAAAAAACGUAUAUUCCCUUCUAGUAGUAAUUCGUUUCUUGUUGGCGAUGGAUUAGGCUUUAGUGACUUUGAUGAUAUGGCCACAGAGCUUUUUCAUAAAGUAAAGAAAGACCGGCCACCAAAAGACCAUGCGUGGCAUUUUCUGACCGAAAGCUAGCCCAUCGGCAGUACAUGCAUUAUACUUGAGGAAUCACUUUUGCUUGUUUCAGCCACAACCUUUAAUUUCUGAGUGAGAGGCAACCACAAUAUGCCAUUAAACUACGUCCCCUCCUUUCGGGUAAAAGGGUACACUUCGCCAUUUCCUUCUCCGGAAAAACUAUAAAAGCCAGCAUAAUCGUCUUUCGGUUUUUUUGCGGAAUAUACACCUUUGUGUUAACAGAAAGAUAAUAUUCCACAUAGCAUGCAUAUUUGAAAAAAAGAACUGACACUAGGAAAAAGAAAAGGAAAAAAAUACCUGAAUGUACAAUUGCAUAUGUUUAUCGCAUUUCUUUUUUUUUUCCUGAGCUGGAAGGUACCUCCAUUAAAUAUAGGCCGACGUAAUGCUUGCGGCCACAAUGUAAGUUGUAGCAUUCGUACGGACCACUGUCAGGGUCACAAUAGGACGUACUAAUGUGCUACCACAAGGACAUCUACAAAACUUAAUUUCUGUGAAAAUGUGACAUCACAUGGCGCUGAACCAAUCAAGAGCUCAAGUACGUACGUGUUCAGAGCUGACUCUACAGUUAACUGCAUCGGUCUCCAACUCCACCCGUAUCAUCCCAGAGCAUCCGAAGCAUACAGCUCGGAGCCCUGUACAAGUAACAAGUGCCAUAGCUUUCAGCUUGUAAAGCAUCAGAAAAAUGCUCAAGUUUCUUCGGCUCCUGAACCCACCACAGCACUCUCAGAUCAUCUGUAUCCCCUGAGAUCACAAUUCAGCAUCAAUGUUAAUUUUCACCUAUGACAUACUGCUGCUUUAAUUGUGAGUUUUGUUUCUGAUCCAUGGGAGUCAGGAAGCUAAGCUUAUGAAUGAGGGAAUAUAUUUUUCCAGUGCUAAGCUUCUCGUCACUGUAUCAACACACGUAAGGCCCAGUUUUGCAACCAUGCAAAAUCUUUGAUCUUUAUAAACGGGCCCUAUCAUAAGCUUAACCGAACAGACGAACCUGUUGUACCAGCAAGAAGGCCGAAACCCCCAAACACACACACGCGCAACAAACUCACUUACAGCCCAACAAGUCCAUGCACUUGCUGUAUAGGACCAUCAUCCCGGAAUCCACACACACAUUUCUUCCCCCACCUUAUAACUGAGCCCAUAACUAACAUGGCCUGGCCUGGAAUUGAAAGAAGCGCAUCUCGAAGCCCAUAACGGGACGCGACGAGCCGCCGAGAUACUGCAAAGCGCUGGCCCGGGACCACGACGCCGACCUCCUCCGCGCUCUGCAGUACAACGGCAACGGCACCCUCCACGGAGAGCAGCAGGUCCUCAAUUCGCUCUCCGACGGACCGGACGGCGACGGGAGGAGCAAGAGGCCGCGUAUCUGCGCCCGGGACUGCGCGAAGCCGAUCAUGGAGCUUCCCGUGGAGGAGCGGGUGAAGGUGCUCGACCUCCUUCAGCGCGACGACGCGGCGCUCACCGUCUCCGACUACAACGACAUCCUCUCGGCGCUGGCGCGGGCGGGCGACCACGCGUCGGCCGUCGCUCUGUUCCGCGCCAUGCCCGUCGCCCCCGACGCCCACUCCUUCGCCACCGCCGUGCAGUGCCUCUGCCACCAGGGCGCGCCCGACGAGGCCAAGCUCGCGCUGGACGAGAUGGUGGUGCGCGGGUUCCGGCCCAGCGUCGCCACGUUCUCCGCCGUGGUGGGGUGCCUCUGCAAGCGCGGCCGCGUCACCAAGGCCAUGGAGGUGUUCGACGCCAUGAGCGCGCUCGGGUGCGAGCCCACCGUCCGCACCUACAACAGCCUCAUCGGCGAGCUCUGCUACGUCGGCCGGCUCGAGGAGGCGCUCGACCUGCUCAACAUGCUCAAGGGCUCGCCCAAGACGCCGGACAUCUACACCUUCACCAUCGUGCUCGACGGCUUCUGCAAGGUCUGGCGGACGGAGGAGGGCACGGCCAUCUUCCACGACGCCAUCGGGAUGGGCCUCUCGCCGACCAUCUUCACCUACAACGCGCUCCUCAACGGCCACUGCAAGGAGGGGAACCCGCUCAGGGCGUUCGCGCUGCUCAUGGAGAUGUGCGGCGGCGAGGGCGCCUGCCUGCCGGACAAGAUCAGCUUCGGCAUCGUGCUGACCGCGCUGAUGCGCGCCGGCGAGACCGCGGUGGCGUGGCAGACGUACAAGCGGAUGGAGCGCGCCGGGUUCGAGGCGGACGGGCGCGCGCUGGACACGCUGGCGCGGGGCCUGUGCCGGCGGUACGCGGCGGACGCCUCGGCUCUGGGCGACGCCAGGGAGGUGUUCGCGAAGCUGGUGGCGUCGGGGCACGAGCCGGUGUCGUACACCUACUGCCUGAUGGCGCAGGCGCUGGCGCGCGGCGGCGAGGUGGACGCGGCCGUGGCGCUUCUGGAGGAGAUGGUGCGCAGGGGGUACGCGCUGCGGAAUCGCGCCUACACGCGCUGCGGGUGCUGGUGCUGGUGCUGGUCAUGAUCGUGCGGGACUUCGUGCCGGGGCGGAACGCGUUCGACGCGCUGCUGGGCGAGCUCAGCCGGCUGGGCCGGUGGCCAGACGCCAUGGCCGUGUACGCCACCGCCGUGAAGCGCGGCGUGGUGGUCUCGUGGAAGUAUCUGAGCAAGGUAAAGGAGGAGGAGCCCGUUCGGCUGGGCGUUCUGCAGUGACCGCUGCCUGGUCGCAGGAUCACACCAUCUCUGCGACCGCGAGGCUUUCCGGCGUCCGGAUUUGGAAGCCGGCGUUGCUCUGUGUGUCCGUCGCUGAAGAUGGAGUUUGGAACGAGGCUCCGAGUUGCGUGCAAAUGCAUCAUGACUCUCCCGAGGAGGAAGAACAUACAGCUGACGGCUGAGGAAGACACGAGGAAUGUACCAAUUUUCUGUAAAUCAUUUCUGCUCGAUCGGAUUGACCGGGCGAAGCAUUGGCAAUCGAAUUUACGACCAGCGUCGCUCGGUUCUCGGUACCUGGCCGGCGCGGCAAGGUAUGACCGUAUCUCUACUCUAAAAAAAUAUUACCACCACCCCGUGGUCCUCCAUCCCACCCUCCGAGAAAGAUUUGAUGGCCUAUCUGAAGUCCAAACUUGGAGCCCAUAACUCUUUGGGUCGGACCAAUGGGUACAUGUAUGGGCCGUCAAUGGGUCUACUUCCCCCGCCUGCCUGCCUGGUGCCUGCAUUCUGGCCUUGUUGGCCCAUUCUCGCAGCGCCACGCGCCAAGCAGCGCGUUCAAGCUGAAAUUUGCCCGAGAUUUUUUUAUAGGGAAGGAGUGGACGGAUGGUCCACAUCAGUCAAACCUACAAGAAAACAAUGUGCUACCUACCACCUCCACGAAUCACUGACAGGUGGGUCUAUAGUUUGCUGGGUCCACAUGUCAUGCCCGUACUACUAAUCUCGAGUAGCUGUUCGCAGAAAGGAAUUCUCGUGUCGCAACAAGCGCAGUUCGUUCAUCCUCGGCGUGCGCUGGCGUGAACCAAUCAGGAUGCUCCCCGCCAAAACCAAGCGGCGGUACGCGCGCGAGCCCGCGCGUGGUCCACCUGUCAGCGUGACGAGGUGGGGGAGGGCCACGAGGCGCGCGGCGGGAAAAUAAAAGCGCGCGCACUCGGCAGUUCACCAGGGGAUUCGGACCCCACAACAGCUGGACGGUUUCUCGCCGGUCACGCUUUACUUUCUCGCCCAUGGCUUUCCUUUCUUCCGAUCAAAAUGACCACCACAUCACAUCGCCCCUACUUCACCCAAGUACACCAGUAUUUGCAGGAUUGCUCAGCCUCAAUACAAUCAACUGCUCAAGGACUCAAUUAUAUUUCACUUUGGAAAAUAGAACUGCAUAUGUUUUGGUUUAAUAAUCAGUAAAACUACACAUAAAAUAUUUAGUGCGCAGAAUUAUGCAAUCAGACACAUUGUGAAUAGUUCCGCACUAUAUUGUUUUGUAUCUAUAAACGACAUCCAAAUCUAUUUUGAAGACUGAAUUGAAACAAAAUAUACCGUAGAUUUUUGAAUCAAGUGUUUCCUCUGCAAAGUAUGCUAAUAGUAGCCAUGACUUAGACGUGCACAAGUUUAAAAUCAUCGCAAGAAUGACUCAAAAACAUGUUUUCGGUGGAAAACAUAAAUAUCUUAAGUGUACCCGAAUAAUUGCCACCAUUUCUUUAUCACCUGACAUUAUAACAUGGCAGAAUUAGAAGCAUAGUAGUAGUAUGUACAUCAAAUUACGAGCAAUGUGCCCCAAAACCAGUAAUUUAAGGCAUUCCCCUACUGUUUACUCAUGUAACUAGACGUGGCCCCAAAAUAUUUUGAGAAAUUUGCAAAAAACAAAGAGAAUAACCUUUUGAGAUGUUUUAAAAUCACAAUGCGUGGAUUAAUAUGAAGGAACUUCACUGAAAAUGCUAAAAAGGCAAAAGGAAACACGUCCCUGAAACAGUUCUCAUCUUACAUUUUUGCCCCUGCAGCCUUGCCUAGAGCUACAGCGCGCCCCGUGCAAGUCGUCCACACCAUAAACUGGCAACCCCCACUGAAAACUCCAAUUUCCCUCGCUUCUCCCACCCCACUUUUCCCUCGUUUUCUUCCCUCCCUUCCCUUCCCCUCCCUCCCGCCGCGCAAACCCUCGCCCCCCGCCGCCGUCUCAGAUCCCAGCUCCCGAACCCUGCCUCCCCACCGCGCGCCGGCCUUCCGAUCCGCGGCUCCGCGCGUGCCUCGAUCCCCAUGGCGGCGGCGGCCGGCGGCGCUGCCGGCGAGGCCAGGGCGCGGGCGCUGCUGCAGCGGCACCAGCCGUUCGCGCCGCCGCCCGGCGAGUACCACAACUUCGGCGCGCCCGCGGACGCCGGCGAGGAGGUGGUGGAGGCCGUCGUCCUCAGGACGCCAGUGAGUUUCGGGGGACUGGUGCUGGAGUCCUUGUGCUGAAAUUCUCGGUUGUUGGGUCGAAAACGCUAGAGCGCGGGCGGUUGAUGGCCCCUCCCGCCAGCGGCGAGGGGAGCUGGGAAAGGUCGUGUGGGCCGGUGGACUGAAUCGGCUUUAGCAAUGCCGAUGCACGUCGCCUUGGAUUUGGCGUCUUGCGAGCUGGUUGGAUGGGGGAUGGGUGGGGUUUUGGUGUUAGCGGAGUUGAAUUUGCUGAAUUUUAAUACCUGCCGUGGAAUUUGCUGCUAAUUCUGCACGGAUUUCGCGAUAUCUGCGUUCUAUCGCUCAUGGAAGAGGUGACCAGAUGGAUAAUUUGCUGUGGUUUAGGUGGAUGUUGCUAGGAUGUAGUAAGAGAAUGUACCAAUCUGGUGAAAUUUGCUAAUUGUGACAUUUGGGAGAAUAGCUUAUAAAUCAGUGAAGUAAUUGGUUCAUGAACGCUUCAAUCGCUAUAAAUUAUAAAAAUAUAUAUGUUUUUUUGUUUGCAUAUGGUAAUUGAUAUGCACCAGCUAGAGUGCGAUGUAGUUCAUGGUGGUGGCGUUUGGUGAUUUUUGUGCUGAUGAAUUGGUAGUGUGUGCUGACUUAUCUGGCAUUUCCCCCUUUUUGUGAUUGUCAGAGUACAUAACCAAUUGUUACCUAAAUUUGGCAAACACUUGUUAAGCAUAUGCAUCUUGUAUGAUGCAGAAAAGCACUGGGCACUAGCAAUAUGUUGGUGAUAGCUUGAAAUCCCCAUUUAAUGAUCCACAACUCUGGAAAUUGAGCGAACUAUGUUAUCGACGGUCAAUCAUAAACAAUGUUAAAACCUGAUACAGUGCAUUGUGAAAAGCAGCGAAGGAUUUAAGUUUACUAAAAAAGUAUUACAAACCUACAUCAAACUGUCUCCUUUUGAGCCAAAAUAGCACACCACUAUUUUGUAACUUUAGCACUGUUGUCUAAUUUCUCCAAAUAAUCAGUCUGGCUUAAUUUAUUACCAUCCUAACAAUGUUCCCAGGAGAUUCUACACUUGUCUCCUGUGGAGACUAUUAUGAUGACGUUGCAUUGUUGUCGUAUUAAUGUAACGCUUUUCAGCAACCUUUUCUCAUAAAUAAGAUCUCAAAACCUUUUGAAAGUAUAAAGACAUAUAUGCAUGCAACAGUUUACACUUUAUUUAGCUCUAGUUCUAACAAGAGUAUUCCUCUUGUAGUUGAAACGGAAACAUAACAGAGAAGGAAAUGAAGCUGCCGAAUCAAAUGACUGGAUGAUGAGCCCUGGAUAUGCUAAUGCAGGCAGCAGUCCAGUUCCUACACCACCUUCAGGGAAAGGUUUAAAACCUUCUGCCAAGCCUAAGGCUACCAAGGGCCAGAAACCUUGCCCUCAGACCCCUUUGAAUUUUGGUGAGUGAUGCACAUUCAAUCAGACAUGAAUCAUCUUUAUCUCAGAUGACUCAAUCCUCCUGCAUAAUUUUUCACAGGUUCUCCAGGCAAUCCUUCUACUCCUGUUGGUGGCUGCCGCUAUGAUAGCUCCCUAGGUGAGAAUAAUCAGUUAUUGAUUUUCCUGUUUUGGACAGUUACAUUUCCAUGAUAUCUUGAUUUCAGAUUUCCUUUCUUUUUCAUUAUUGCCUUUUAGGGCUCUUGACAAAGAAGUUCCUGAACUUGCUAAAAGGUGCACCUGGUGGCAUAGUUGAUCUAAAUAACGCUGCGGAAACUCUAGAGGUUGGUACCUCCUUGUUGGUAUCUUGUUCCGAGCAUGUCUUUCUUUUGCUAAACAUAUACACGCGGAACUUGUUUUGCAGGUACAGAAAAGGCGUAUAUAUGACAUUACUAAUGUUCUUGAAGGGAUAGGGCUGAUAGAAAAGAAGCUUAAGAACAAUAUCCGUUGGAAGUAAUGACUCUUAAUACCUGUAUUUCUGAUUGAUUGUUUAUGGGCAUUACUCACUUCAUAUGUCCUUUUGCAGAGGAAUAGAUGACUCACGGCCAGGAGAAGUUAGUGAUGAUAUGUCCAUUUUACAGGUACUAUGCUCCAUUUCUUCCUAUUUCUUUUUUUACUGAAAUAGUUCUUCUCAAUGCAGAUGCUUAAGUAAUGGUUCUUAUUCUCUAAGAAAUACUUAUUCUAUUUGUCAUACACAGGCAGAUAUUGAAGCUCUUACACUGCAAGAGCAGAAUUUGGAUGAACGAAUAAAGUUAGUCACCAGCUAUUUAAAGCUCAAGUUAUUGUUAUUAUUUCAGUUUCGCUAAGCAUGCUCCUCCAAUAUUUCUUGCAGUGAAAUGCGAGACAGGUUAAGGGAGCUCACUGAAGAUGAAAAUAAUCAAAAGUAACUAUCUUCUUUUUUUCCCCUUGAGAUUGAGUAAUUACCUUGCAUUUCAAUGCAUUGCAGGUUUUGGAUCUGAUUAAUGAAUCUCUCUACCUGCAGGUGGCUUUAUGUUACAGAUGAUGAUAUCAAAUCUUUGCCAUGCUUUCAGGUUUUUUUUUCUUACUCUAGUAACUGUUAAAAAUGAUCAGCGCUACUCAGUAUAUAAUCAGUAACUAACAGAUCACUACAACAUGCAGAAUCAAACUCUAAUUGCUAUAAAAGCACCGCAUGGUACAACUUUGGAAGUCCCAGAUCCUGAUGAGGUGGGUUCCAAAACCAUCCUUGUUUGUCACCCUCAAGGUCAUAGGGGGAUGUUAUAUUUCUUUAAUGGGGUCAACUUCCCUAUGCAGGUUAAUGAUUAUCCUCAAAGAAGGUACAGGAUUGUGCUGAGGAGUACCAUGGGUCCGAUAGAUGUGUACCUAGUUAGGUAUGUGCUCAUUAUAUCCCCAUGCCUGGCAUAUGCUAAAAAUCAUAUAAUUCAGAAUGUACAUCUCCAACUUAACAUGACGCCUAACAUUGUUGUGUUGAUUGAUUGUAGUCAAUUUGAGGAGAUGAGUGGCAUGGAGACUCCUCCAAGGCCUACACCAACAAUAAGCAUGGAUUCUCUAGAGAAUCCUAGGACGCCUUUGGCUGCAGAAUGCAGCAAAUCUGCAGGAAUAGAACCUAACAUUCAAGAAGGGUUUACACUACCUCCUGAUGCUCCUAGUAGUUCGCAGGACAACGGAGGGAUGAUGAAGAUUGUCCCUUCAGAACUUGAUGUAAGUUUGCUUCAAUGCAUAAUUAUUCAACAGGUUGUUCAAAAUGAAAUCGAUUUGUCUAUGAUCAUGUGCGUAGUAUUUAAUUGCAUGUUUUUUUGCACCCGCUCAACUUCACUUGAUGCUUCAUUCUUACUUCGUCUAAUUUGGCAAAUAGUGUUCUCUUUGCUUCUCUGUAGUAUCUUCUUUUUAUGGAAUAUCAACUUCUUUAUAGCACUUCAUUAUUCAAAGAUCGAUCUGUGCGAAGUGGUACAACUUGAGUUUGUUCUUGACCAUCAUCACUGUAGUGCUGGGCAACAAAACCUUUUUCCUAAUAUUGGAAUACCUUGUAUGCAAAUUCUGUCUUGGAUAUAUCUUAUAUACCACAUCUGAAUUCAUCGGCAAUACUUGCAGUUCUGUAGCGCAAAUACUUUGUAAUGCAUUAACCGUCCUUUUCCUUGGCAGACUGAUGCAGACUACUGGCUCUUAUCAGACACAGGAGUUAGCAUCACGGACAUGUGGAAGACAGCACGUAUCCUUCUAACAGUCUCUGUCACCUUAUCUAAGAUUUUCAUGUAGUAUAUCAUAUGCAGAAUUUUGAUAUGAAUUAUGAAACCAGUAAAUCCUUAACUCGACAACGCAGCAGAUGUGGAGUGGGACGGGAUUGAGAAAUUCAACGCGGAGGAUUUCCUGGAAGUCAGCACGCCCCGGCAGCAGGAUAAACCGGCCGACGUCGUGGACCCUCGUGUAUAAACUGAAAACCGCUGAAUCGGUGCAGGGAACACCAUCCAUAUUUUAGCGGCCGAUCCGAUCAACCUGGAGCGAUAGAUGGCUGAGUGAUGUACAGGUGCUAGCCCAGAAAUAACUUAACUGAUCUUCUGGACAUGCCGGUCAUAUAACCGAGCGUGGAAUGUUGAUGGCUCAGGCUGGCCUUCACAGGUUGAAACCAUGUGCCGUGCCUGGAAGUUGCAUGCUGUUGUGCAUCUCACAGCAUUAGGAUUGUACAAUUAUUAGGAAUACAUAUAUUGUGUGUGCCGGUGAUGCUCGCCGAGAUCCAUUUGUAAAAUAGCAGUUACUAUUAUUUAUUAUCUGUGUGAUACAGAUUCGUCUCUCUUUUUCUUAAAAAAAAGAAAUCAAUCGUGUGAUCUCCAUGGGGGCUGAGUUUAUUGAUGCCAUCCCAGGAUGGAUGCUGCUAUAAACAAGCCAUGCUCUGCAAGUGACCUGUCGUCGGCCUUUGAGUGUCUUGGUAGACGAUCUCUCGCCAUCACUGGUUACGGCAAUCUCUUGUGCUGAUGGUGCAUGUGUAUCGUGAUCUCUGCUAGCAUUUGAUUAUUACGCUGCUUCCCUGCAGCUUCACAUCGGAAGCAACCCUGCUAGUCCGUUUCCUUUUCUUGCUUGUCACAUCGGGCAUCCGGUUGACUGGUAUUUUCUUUCCCUGAGCGCCGUUGAUGCGGUUUAUUUUUACAUCCUCGUGCUAUUACAAAAUGGAGUCACGGUCAAUGUCGAAUAUCCUCCUGCACGUGAGCAGUCGUAGAUGGCACCACACCAUGUCAGUGACGCGUCAAAGGCUUAUCUGCUUCAUUUUUGGCCUGGAAGCAUGAUGUGGUUAAAUGGUUGUCCUUCAGCUUGGCGCCUGCUACAGGGUCAAAGCCAGAAUUCUUUGCUUCAGAAUUUUUUUUAAAAAAAAUCAAGGAUCCAAACUCUCAAGUAGCUAUUUAGUUCGCCAACGUCUGCACAUGGGAUGAUUAGCAAAGUUGAGUGCCUAGUUUAGUUAAACAAGGCUUCUUAUUUGAGAAGAUACGUUCAGAAUUCUUAUAGAAUUGGCGUCUUACAAAAAGGGACGUUGAAGCCAGAUCUUUUUUCCAUUGUCUAAAAAGAGUGCCCUCCGUGGAAGACCACAAAUAGAGGAAAUACAACAACCAUCUUGACUACACCUUUUGUUGCAUUACUCUUCAUCCUAUCGCUGUUCGAUACAGGCAGGUAUUUUCCUGAGAUGGAAAUUCCUGCAGGCCAUGAUUAAGAGUGGCAAUGGACCACUGAUAUUUGCAUCUUGUUUAUUUUAUUGUUACAAGCUUGCCAGCUGGAGUGCUACCCAAUAAAAAUGGCAAGACGCCUAAAACAAUUGCCAUGGAAGAUGCGCCAACUAUGACCUGCUAGAUUUCUUCUCUUCUUUUUUUAGCCACAGGUUUUGGAAACUAUCUCGAGCCUUAUUCAAAGAAGAGGUCAUGAAUCAAGUGCUAUAAAACGGGUUAAGGACUAGUAGCCAACAUUUGGUUAUUGUAUUUCAUAUCUCCCUCUUUGAUCCCCUAAUAUUCUCCUCAGAUUAUGCAGGCAUUAUAUGCCGUUUAACUGAUCCCUACUUGUCCAAAAACAAAAGGGGCUUUAUGCAUUCUGGUCCACCUCACGGCGUCACCUAGCCCGGCUUCAUUCGCAGAUGUUGUUCGAUUCUGAUAGACUACCCAAUGUGGUUUGCUGACUGUUGAGCAUAAAGUGAGUGUUUCCACCUUACUGUAUUCUUCAGCUGCAAAAUGCAAGUAAGAUCCCACCUUGAAAUGUUGACAUGGACUGAUAAUGACUUACUAAGACUUGUUUUUAAAGCAUGUGCAUCGUGCGCGCGCAACGGAAUCAAGCAGUAGAGUGGUUUAAAAGACAGAAAGAUAAACAGACAGUAUGAGUAAGAGAGGGGUUGUAUGUUAUCUAAACCGGCCACCUGCUAGGCUGCUAGAGACAAAGCCUUCCAUAGUGCCGUACUGCCGUCUGAUCUGAUGUGAUGUAUAAACACAUCGCCCAAAGGAAAUGCAACAGCUGUCUUGACUGCACUUUGAUGUGAUUAUAUAUCAGCUGCAUCCAGUGGCUUUCAGGUAUUAACACUUCUGAAUUCUAGCUCUUUAUUUUUUUAAUAAGAAAACAUCUUUCAGUCCUGCCUGAUAGGGAAAACAUUUAUUUACAUCUUAUUUGUUGUUACAAGCUUAACAUAGCUGGUGUUCUUUUUUUUUUAAAAAAAAUAGCUGGUGUAUUACUGGGAAAAAAUGGCGAGUGGCCUAAACUUGUAAGGCACUCUCCGUAGAAAGCAGUGUUUCGUUUAUACCAUUUUCUUUUGUUACCACGAGACAAGUAGUUUAUCUGCUUUGGCAAUGACUUUACGGAGAUGUCACUUGGAUAGUUGGAUGGACCUCUAAUACUCUAUCCUAAACAGCUAAACUCCGCAGGUACACCUGCUUUUACCUGCAUCCUGCUUGCCCAAAAAGAAGAGGAGAAUUUGCUUCUGCACCACUUGCCCAAGCUUGCUCAUCCUGAUAGAUGAGCUAGAUUCCUAAAGAAUAUAUCCCAAGUGCGCAAUGCUGACUGUUGAGCAUCGAACACUCUCCAACGUGGAUCAAGAUUCCAACGGAAUGCGGAUUGCUGAGUCGGACUGAUCCCGACCGGGCCCACACGAGGCAACUGGGACGAGAAAAAGGUAGUCUUGUGUUUGUGACGCGAGGGCAUGAGCAAAAUGCGGCAAAAUUAGGGCCACAUUCUCCAGCAGCGCCACAGCUUUCUCGUUGCAUCCGUGCCACUACAUUUGCUGGGGGCCAUUAGGUAGCCUUCCAUCCUGGCCAUUCGGUUCAUCAAGAGGGGUAGGUAAAUUGCUCCUAAUUCUCAUCCUGUUUUGAAAUGUUCUUUGUAGUGGCCCCAAACUUUGAUAGGGAUGUCCUUGUUAUCCACGGGCUGCUCUUCUUGCCGUGGAGAGUUUGCGGUCGUUAACACAUCACCAUUGAGGCAUUGACCAUGCAAUACUGUUUCGUUUCAAUUUGGAUGUCCUUUUUGUAUUAGAUUGGUUGACUUCUUAGGAUCGGACUAGUAAUUUCCUUGCCAAUUGCAUUUUCAAUAUUUGUAUGACUACGCACCAAUAAAUUUUUUUAGCAGUGUUGCUAAUCACAAAUGCAAUAAUAGGAUUUCACCAUGCUAAUAUAUAGUCUUAAAAGUGUUAAUAGUCACGUCAAUUGAGAAGAAAGAAGAGAAUACAAAGUUGUCUACCCCCAAAACAUCAACUUCUAAAAAGCAAUGACCGAUGAAGUGUUCGAUACUAGUACCACUCGGUUAUGCUAACAAACCCUUCUGCGCUAAAUUUUUUUCUAAACAAACUCUUGUUUUUUUUGUAAGGCUAAUCCCAGUGGGGGUUUCAUAGAGGUUUCAUGCACAUUAAAUACAGUGACACAUCUGUAUAUGUGAUGACAUGUCAUGAUAGUUAUGAAGUGAGAGAGGGAAGGAGUUUCAUCAGGAUGAAACUGUGUAUACACUGUUUCCAAGACUAUGAAACUUGCAUUGGGGGCUAUAGAGUUUCAUUUCAUCUAACCAUAUCCAAUCACAUGCCUCACAAUUAAAUGUCAUGGUCAUCCUAUGAAAUCGUGAAAUGAAACUAUGCACUGGGACUCUCUGUUUCAUUCAUAAUACACCUCAUGGGAUGAUGUGGCAUCCUUGAAAACAGUGCGAUGAAACCUUGCACUGGGACUAGCCUAAGGACACAUCGGAGUCUUUUUUAUGGAAACAUGACUCCAGGACAAGUCAGAGUCUUUUUCUUAGAAACAUGACUCCAAAAUCCACCACUAAGCACUCGUACAAUGCAACAUCUACAUUUUGCUACGUCACCUCUGAAACUAUACUGGAUUACAACAUCAACUCUUAAACAUAAAUAGCUAAAUCAAGAGACAGUAACGCAAAACGCUCUCUUAUGAAUUUUUUUACGACUGCGAGAUAUUACGUACUUGCUUUAAAAAGGCACCAUAUUGUGGAAAUCAUCGUUCUACCUCAUUUUUUAAGGGAUAAACUCAUGUAUACCAUUUUUAGAUAUUUAUUUUUAUAACGUACUCACCUGAAUACACCCGCUCUUACGAGCACCCAAGAGAAUAGAUCGAUACAUCUUGAGAUGACGAAAUGGUAUAUUUUUCCCAUAUUUCUGUGAAAUAAGAUUUUUACACCGGUAUAAUUUUGCAUAGCACAUAUUUCAAAUGUAUUGAAGUCUUUGACAAAUAAACACUUCACACGUAGAAAUUUACUAGAGCGUGUCGUCGCACACUUUGAAGAUUUCUGUAACCAGAGCUAGGAUUUGUAAGACCCUGUAAAAGAAAAGCGUAUGGGAAUUGGGAUAGGAGGAACGCAGUCAGCCGCGCGCUGACGUGGAUCCCAAUAAUUUCUGUGGGCCCCACCCGCCACCCCGGAGCCGCUCGCCCCGCGCGGCCUGAGUCCGACAAGCCGUUUCGGGUUCACUAGGCCCCAAAAUUCCAUUCCCGUCCUAAUCCCACCUCAGAAAUUCACACUCUGCUGAUUUUCCCCGGUAGAUGACAUGUGGGCCAGCUUCUGCUAUUUCGCAGAGUUUUUAGAGGGCGCUAUAUAUGACACCCGUGCAAAAAGAAUUCUUCUUCCCCUCCUCCCACUCUCUGUCUCUCUCUGCCCCGAGCAAGUCGUCGUCGCCUCCUCCCAAAGCUCGCUGGUUGAUUCGAUUCCUACCACUCGCCGAUCGCUUCUGCUAUGCCGUCGGCGCCAGCCGUCGUGCCGCCGGAGUUGCCGAAGCUUUCGCCGACGUCGCAGCAAGCCCUCCGGCCGCGCUCUCCGCUCGCCAACGGCUCGGCCGGCGGCGACUUCGAGCUGCGGCACUGGCGCAGGCCCAAGAAGCGCGCGGCGCCGUCGCCGCCGUGGGCGCCGCCGGUUAUCCAGAUCCCGGAAGGCGCCGGGAGCGACGACGACAGCAACAGCAGCGGCGGUGGCGGCGGAAGGCACGGGUACACCAGCCUCCGGGACAUCCUGUCGUCGCCGGAGUACGCCUUGACGGCGGGCGGCUCGCCCGCGGCCUGCGGCGGCGUCCUCGGCGGCGGUUGCGGCAGCUGCGGGGACAUACACAUGAUCCGGCACCCGCUUGUGAAGCACGCGGCGUACGCGUACCUGCAGAUGACGCCGUCGGCCAGGGAGGACCCCGCCCGCCGCGGCCGGCGCUGGCGGAGCCCGCUCUGCCGCCUCCUGCUCGGCUGCCUCAGCUUCAUCGGGGCGCUCUUCCGGCCCUGACUCCAGCGGUGACACCGGGCUUGCGGUUCUUGGUUGCAAUUUCUCCUUUUUCGUUCCUUACCAUUCUGGUUCUUGUGUGAUUGAGUUUUUCUUAGGAUUCUCUCUUUUUUGCGAGGAUUUUCAUAGAAUUUUCAUGCUUUGCUUGAAGUGUAAUUUCUGUAAAUAAUUUGCUAGGAUUAGGCACAAUUGGAGAUGAGAUUAUAGCAGGAAGAGAAAUGAUUGAUCGCGCACUAACAGCAUCUGAUUAGUUAGCUUGAUUCUGUCCUGUUUUUUUUAGUGGUAAUGAAGUAAUGAUUGGCGCUAUGAAUAUGAUAGCAAUAAAAUGAGAAAACAGGUAAUGAAGCAGACUGAAAUAUAUUCCAUCGCAGCAAAAAGAAGACUGAAACAUACUGAUGCACUAACGAUUUCUAUCAUAUCACUUCAACAAUACUGGAUACACAUCCAUCUGUUCUUCACAAUGGUGAAUGGUGAAUGGGUUGCUGAUUUUGCUAUGUACUCCCCCUUUUCUUUUUCUCUGGCUUUCUUUGAUUCGAUUCAUUCUAUGUACAACAGAAAUCAUCCCCUAUAGUUUCUGUAGGAGUCUCUUGAUUUCCUCUAGUAAUGCUUGCCGUUUGUCGGUCGCCGGGGGUUGGCGCCGCCGAUGGUGGCGCGCAGAGCCUCGGCCAGCACGGCCGCGUCAGGGUUGCUGUCGAAAAUGGACUCCUGCGGUGGCGGUGACGGCGGCCGGCGCUUGGUGGCGAAGGGGCUCCAGCCCGACUUCUUGUUCUUCUGCUGCACGUGAAUACAAAAACGAAACCAACCGUUAUCACAAUGCCUGCUGUGAAAAGAAAAAUGCAUCCAGUCAGUGCUUCACAAUCAGUGCGCCGGGAUUCGUGCACGUGGACGCACAUGUCCGUUUGGUGGAUACGAAUACGACGCUGCCUCCUGUGUAGCUGAACCUUUGUACAGGACGGCGUGUACCGACCAGGCAACAACCACUCGACACGAUGUCUUACAAAUUUCACUGCUCCCAACUGUGGCCCGGUUAAGCUGGGCCUCAUCGCGUAAAGUUACUCGUCAUAUAUACUACGAGAUGCCAAUACGUGGGUUUCGAUUUAUGCAGUUCAUCAAAUACCAAAGGGGGUGUUUGGAUCUCUAAUUCGGACUAAAAUUUAUGUCCCAUCGAAUAUUCGGAGGCUCAUUAGGAGGACUAAACAUGAGCUAAUUAUAAAACUAAUUACACAGAUGAGGCUAAUUUACGAGACGAAGCUAUUAAGCCUAUAUUUACUUAUAUUUACUAUAGCAUCACAUUGUCAAAUCAUGGACUAAUUAGGCUUAAUAGGUUCGUCUCGCAAAUUAGUAUCCAUCUGUGCCAUUAAUUUUGUAAUUAGUUUAUGUUUAAUACUCCUAAUUAAUAUCUAAACAUUCGAUGUGACAGGAAUUUUAGAAGGGACUAGGGGUGUUUGGAUACGAGGUGUUAAACUUUAACAGUGUGACAUCGGAUGUUCGGAUGCUAAUUAGAAGAACUAAACAUGAGCUAAUUAUAAAACUAAUUGCAGAACCCUGUGCUAAUUCACGAGACGAAUCUAUUAAGCCUAAUUAAUCCAUCAUUAGCAAAUGGUUACUGUAGCACCACAUUGUCAAAUCAUGAACUAAUUAGGCUUAAUAGAUUCGUCGCGCGAAUUAGACUCCAUCUGUGCAAUUAGUUUUGUAAUUAGCAUAUGCUUAAUACUCCUAAUUAGCAUCCAAACAUCUGAUGUGACGGGUGUUAAAUUUGAACACCUUAUUGCCAAACAGGCCUAGAAACAAACACCUCCAAAGACCAUCCCAGGUCAGAAAGAAGUGAGCAUUCAUCAGACCCGUUCACGGCGCGUGGGAGCAGGUUCAGCGCAUGGGAGGAGAAGGCAACGUUGCAGGAGCUGACAGGAAUGAGACAAGGUCAGACCGUCAGAGCUGGGCAGGAUCAGUUUGUGGAAGGGGGUGAAAGGAAACGAUCAGGUUGGCAGGUUGCGCUGGCCCUUUGGCUCUUGUGCAGACAAGUGCCCACGUUCUCCGCGCGGGAUGCUGCUGCUUUCCCAGUUGCUGCUAGACUAGAGCCGGUUGGGCAUCACUGUCCGGUGGGCCAGGAUUGAAUGGGAGCAGCGAGAGGCUGACAGCUGCAGGCAGGGGCCGCAUGAGCGAGAAGCCAUGGCCUCAGAUUGAGGUCGGGCCGUCGGGGAGAGGGGGCAGGCGAGCCCCUGGCAGUUGGCAGGCACUGGGCAUGGCCGGAUUGGUGGAUAAUGCUGCUGUAGUACUUGUCAAAGUGGGGCGGUGAGAGGGAAGCCAAGGGAGGAGUGAGUUGGCAGAAUUGGGGGGCUGGGCUUUCUUUGUUAGCAACAGUUUGUUUGAUGCCGGUUGGAGUUUCUACAGAUGUGCCAAACGGGAGGUGUCAUGGUUCGUCCAAAAGAAAAGGUUUUUGGCACCCAGAAAAGGUGGGAGUCUGAUGGUGAGAUUUAGGUAGAAUUUGAUAUAAAACAGAAACAUGCGAAUUGGACAUAAGUAUAUGUAAAGAACUUUGACAUGAUUUUUUUUUCAUAUGAUCAAGAAAAACAGAUAUCACUGGGAAAAUGUAUGUAUUUCUGAUUGUGAUACUUUGCUUGGAUGGCAUGCAAUGGAACAACAGUUCUUUAUUGUAGGAUAGCUAAUCAAUGGUACUGAAUUUGAUUACUAAGAAAACCUAAUAAAUAUACAUGGCAAGUAGCGCUACUGAAUUUAAAAUAACCAUACUGCAUGGUCUUUCGACUGUAUAAUGCAUAGGACAUGAACUUUACCAAGAACAGAGAAAUUUGUAUAAGAAAUUCAUGGUCAAUUGUUUUUCAGUAAUUUAACACAGAUGAGAAGCCGCAUGCAGAAAUUAAGUCCAGAAUGGAACAUGUCAUGUGGGAGCAAGGAAUAACAUUUUAAUAUAGUGCAUGCUAUACUGAGUAGGUUUGAUGGAAAAAUUGCCAUUACCUCUGCACUGGAUCCUUCAGGUUUCUCAGAUACGACAUAGCGGAGGACAUCCAUGAAGAAGGCCGUCCCUUUGUCUGCGAAAUUCUUGACGUAGAAGCUAAUCAGUUGACCGGAUUUCGCCCUCAGAUGCAGUAGCCUCUGCUCAAUGUUUGGUUCGUAUUGCAUCACUAUGGGCCGAAGAAAGGUGUCAUAUACAACAUCACUUCCCUGCAGAUGCAGUCAAGUUAAAGCAGCUUUCGAUCCAAACAAAACAAAGGUAUGUUUCGCUGGAGAAGAUAAAAUCUGAACAAACAAAUAUGCUUUCUUACCUUUGUUUUUGGGUACCAGAGGUAGACAAAGAAAGCUAACUUCAUUUCGGAAUACAUUGGCAUCCUGGCAUAGAUACAAUACAAUAGGCAUGCAUAGAUAAGCGAUAGACUUCAAAAUAUGAAAGAAAUAGUAGGUAAGAAGAAUUGAACUGACCAAGAGAUCACGCUCUCGAAGGCUAUAACCAUGGCCACAAUAAUCCUGAGACAUUCACAAACAGGACAGUUGACAAGGAUAUGUUAGCCUAUCUGAUACAGUGGUACUCCCAUACAGUCUGAAGACAACACUAAUUCAAUCUUAGCAAACAAAAUAAGCAACAUCAAACUUACACUAGUAGUCCAUGCAAUAAGAGACAUGGCAUGAUCAUUUUACAAGGAUAUGUUAGACUAUCUGAUACAGCGGCACUUUUACAGAGUCUGAAGAUAACACUAACUUUACACUUAUAUGCAGGUGCAGCACUAGUAGUCCAUACAACAAGGAACUUAACAUGAUCAUUUUUAGUCAUAGAUCGUACCAAUCACAAAGUUAUUUCUUUGUUUACUAUAGUAUUUGGUGCAUCACUGCUAACUUGAUUGUAUAGUACAUAAUGCCCCUAAAAGUCCAGUGAAUUUCCCUUACAUAGUUGAAAAUGUUAUUAUGUUAAAAAAAAAUCACCUUGAAAAGAAUUCCGCGUUCUGGUAUAUGGAGAUUCUUCUUUUCAUAUUUAACUAGUAAGUUAACAUCAAAUUUCAAUACUAUGUCCCCAAAUGAGGAUGGUGAUUUUACCACCCCAACUUGUACAUAUUCUACAGAAAUAACUAGAUUAUGAAAAUCAUUUACUGACUUGUUUAGAAAAAAAUCUGAUAACAAAAGGAACUGCACAUAUUUGUAUUCGAGAUAAUAGCAUAUCUCAGGUCAAUCAACAUUCCAUGUAUCGGACAGGCAUGUAACUUCGACAAACAGGACAACAGAACUCAUCCAAUCUAAAAUGGCAGAGCAAGAGAAAUAACUACUGAUACCAGCUGAGUGGAAUGUUACCUAAGUGAUCACUAGACAAGGUAAAGACUCAUAUGACUAGUUGUUUUUUCUUUUUUGCUAACAGGAUUUUGUUUCCCUCUCUUUCAGAUGACAGCCUGGUCCACAGGAAGCUUCUUAUCUCUUUCUUGAAGAGUUUCAUGCUGAAGUCAAAGAUUAGGUAAAACCUGAUUUUGAACCAUUUCCUGGGAAGACUUUGAAUUGGUCUGCUGUUGGUCAAUUGAGUACAACAACAACAACAACAUAGCCUUUCAAUCCCAAGCAAGUUGGGGUAGGUUAGAGUUGAAACCCAACAAGAGUCACAAAUCAGGGUUCGGGCACAUGAAUAGCUGUUUUUCCAAGCACUCCUAUCCAGGGCUAAAUCUUUAGGUAUAUUCCAUUCCUUCAAAUCUCCUUUUAUUGCCUCUUCCCAUGUCAAUUUUGGUCUUCCUCUGCCUCUCUUCACAUUACUGUCACGCCUUAGGGUUCCACUAUGCACCGGUGCCUUCAGAGGCCUUUGUUGGACAUGUCCAAACUAUCUCAGCCGGUGUUGGUCAAUUGAGUAGAUUAAAAUUAAUAUGGUGGUCCUUAGAGCAUCCCAUAUUUUAAUUGGUCAGUGACCAAGUCUAGUCAUGCUCAAGUCUGAUUACAUAGGUAAAAUAACAAACCAGGGAACAUUCUGCUCACGGACAACAAUCUUCUUAUGUCAGAGAUAAUGAAACGAAUGACUACACACACAAUCAAAUUGACACUGUUAACAAGGCAAAUUAUUUGACGAAUUUAUAGUUUAUAUCUACAAAAAAUGUGUUCAUCUUUAGACUAGUUAGUAAACUAUCAUAUGUUUGUGCCUUGGCAAUGUGAAUGCAAAAUCAAACAGUUUGUCAAAUUUAUAUUAGGCUAAUAUUUUGAAAAGUUUGCUCUAAGAUUGAAGAAUGAAGGGAUAUCAAUACUUUCUGUCAUCAUAUGUCUUAUGCUGCACAAAAGUAAUGGCUGCUACUGGUUGCAUUGACUACUGAGAAUCAGAUUGAACAAGUUCAAGAAGAAUCAAAUUCAGUGUAAUUUGUCAUUGAAACAAAGAAGUAAGCAAGAAGGUUACAUAAAAUAAGUUAAGCAUAUUUCUAAAUCCAGUAAAAAACUCUGGUCCUAGAAACAAAUUAUGUUUAGUCGCAGUGGAAUGGCUGAAAUGCCCCACACUCACAGUGAAUGUCAAACAAAAGGGUCAUUAAAUCAAUGUUUAACUUCAACACAAGAUAACCCAAAUAGCAAUUAAUUAGUAACGAAAGUAAAUCAGAUAUGAUGCAGAAAUAGUUUGUUAAACUUAGACAGGUAAAAAUAAACAUAGGCAAGAUAACGAAAAUAGCAAUUUAUUAGUAAUGAGUAAAUCAGAUAUGAUGCAAAAGCCUGGUAUAAUAGCAAUAAUGACAGAACACCAUUCCUGUGCUAGCCCCAAUUACUGAUCCACCAGUGCAUAUUGGAUGGCCUCGAUCAUGCGCUGUUUUAUCUAUCUUGCCUUUCACACAUAGCAGCAAACCAAACUCUGUUUGAGUUGAGGCCCCUACAAGAUGUAGAAACUAGCGCGGCAGAAUCUGUCCCCCUGCUCUAAUCCAGAGCACUGAAUUACAAUCAGAAGUCUUAGAAGCAUUCCUAAUGUUUGUCAGUUUUCUUUUCGCGCCUUUUUUUAGGUGGCAGAGGCAAGAAUCUGAAACUGGAACAGAACUUGCCCAUUUUAUCAAUCCUAAAAUAGCAUAGAGCUAGCAAUCAUUAACAAUAAGGCUUAGGAAUGGGCAAUAACCCUGUGAUUGACGCCGCAUUCUCCCGUGGAAUGCAGGACUGAGGUGUCAUGAUCCAGCCAUCCACCUAACAUCUAACUAUUAACGCACCAUAACGAACCUAAUAGCUUGUACAAUUGAAAAACUAAAGGGAAGCAGAAAUAAAGCUGGCACAAUCAUUUCGCAUGAACUUUUGCCUGUAUAUAGAUACACAUUAAAAAAGCCCCUCCAUGUUAUGCUAGUCAGGGAGCAAAAAGGUUAAAGUGGGAGAACUAAAGUCAGCAUCAUGAAACCACAUAAAACCACGUUAUCCAAGUACUGAAUCUCACGCCACAUCGCGAAAGUGCAAAAGAGGAAGCACGCAAUCACGGUUACUAAUGGUAAUACACAAGCAGGCCGAUGAGCGACAGAUGUGGGAUCAGCAGCGGCGAACGCAUGGUCAUCGGACCGAUUGGAACGAAAGUGAAACCCGAGGAAGGUGGCGGUUGACCACCGAGGGGUGGGGAAGGGGAGAGGAGGGAGGGACGCACCAGUACUGGCACCAGAAGCGGAGCAUGUGCGCGUCGUUGGGGCGCGUCUCGACCGUCUUGAAGCACUCGAACGCCGGCAUCGCGUACCCGAAGAGCAGCCUGCGCGGCGAAGGCCGGCGUCGGCGAACCAGAGCUCGAAAUCAGCACGCAUCACCAAAACCAAAACACACAGACCAUCGGUGUUCGGAGGGAAGUAAAAUUUCGACGGGGAACUUACAGCAGGAUCUUCGAGAGGAGCUCCCCCAACAUCUCUCCGGACCAGAAAUGCCUGCGCGCGCGCGCGGCGCCUGUGGGCUACGACGGCGGAGCGAAAUCCCCCGGGUCCUGGCCUGCGGCUGUCGCUGCGGCUUGUGGAGCGGAAUGGGGGAGGAGGACUCGCGUGGAGCGGUGGGGGGUGACGCGGGGAAGGGAGGGGAGAGGAGAGGAGGCGGAGAAGAAAGCGGUUGCGUUGCCUUUGGGAAGACGCCUGCGGGCGGAGUGGGAGAAUUUGAGAGCGGCGGGCAGUUGCCGAAACGGCCGAGUCCUCGGAGUGGUGGGGUUGGACCCGUUCGACCACGACGACGACGGACGAGGAGACCGACCGACUGGGCCUGGGCCCUGGCUGCGCGGCGGGGCUAUCUCCCGUCACGCUCGCGGUUUGCGGCAUCUCUCGGAAUACAUGGAUGAGGAGUUGGCUUUACGCCAUCUGGCCCACGAUUCGGUGGGGCCUGCGGUGGUGUGGGCGGGAAUCCUAUCCAUCCUCCGCCACGAGAUAAAUAGAGGUGUUAACUUUCAAUGUUUGAGAUCCGUGCGACGAAUGAGAUACAUCGUAUCUUCAUCAAAUUAAAACUCUAGCCUCUACUCCUCUCUCAUCCCUUACCCGUGCCGCCGCCCCCGUGCGGGGCUCGCCGCCGGCCGGCAUGCCUCCCCAUGCUGCCACCGCCGGCCAGCACGCCUCCGCACGCCGCCGAAGCUAGAUACUUUUUUAAAAAAAUGUUGGUGCAACUUUUUUCCGAAAAAUAUUAGAUUCAAUUUUUUCUAAAGAACUUUUUUCGAAUAAAUGUUGGUCCAACUUUUUUUAAAAGAUAUUGGUCCAGAUUUUUAAAAAAAUCUUAACAAGUUUUUUUUUAAAUCUUGACAAUAUUUUAUUUAACUUUUGAUCUGCAGCGUUUUGUUAGGCUUUGAUCAUCUUCCGGUAAAUAUAUACGAGGCCCCCUGGUGUGUGUGGGUGCGCGGACGGGUGGCUUUACGCUUUUCGAAUUGCUCGGCCAUGGUUCCGCGCCGCCGAUCCUUGUGUGGCCCCGCGUGUUGCCCAAAACUCCAUCACCGGAAGCUUCGCCUGGGAAGGCACUGCCUACUUGGCGACUUGGGUGUGCCGUGUGCCGCCUAGUAGACCACUAGACGUCUUUGUCCCGUUGCGUACGCCUUGGUUUUACCGGUUCGUCCGUGACGAAGGCGUAGGCGCCACGUACGAAAGGAUGUACAGGGGCAGCGCAAGACCGAGUUUGACAGUCUCCGGUAUCUGUACGUUCACAAGCAGUGCAAGAGCAAAAUGCAUGCCUGCCAACUCAAAACUCACACAACCAAAGUCACAAGCUGGCACUCCAUUUCUAGCACCGGAUGCAAGAGAUGGACGCAUGCGGCCUUUUUUGGGGGACAGGAAACGUGACGGGAACGGCUGAUCAUUCAUUCAUGCUUCAUUCCUGGGUCAUCACUCCGGAGAGCACGCCGAUGCGGAGAAAGAUUCCGUGCGGCGUCUCUACGCGUGCCGUGACGACGACCACCCAAGCCAACCCGGCCCCCAACAGCAACCUGCCUUGAUCCCGGUCCAACCAAUCCACCGCGGGGAGAAGAAGGGGCCGGGUCAAACGCAUGCAGGCAUCACCUUGUCCUGACGCUUUUGUUGAUUUUGACCUUUUGUGAUUAAAACCUUGACUUGACAAUCCCCACCAACAAGUCCGUCGUCGAAGUAUCUCUAGCUGGCUGGUUUUUAAUUUCCUGCCAUGAAUUUCCGAAUGGUUUCUUUCUUCCCUCUCAUUUCCCAUUCAGAUGACAUCGGCCGGUGGUUAAUUUUCUUACGCGGCUUAUUCAUUCGCGUCCGUAUCUGGCAGAGUGUCUGCAACACCUACGCAAUCGCAAUUGACAGCGUGAAUAAUCACAACACCAAUCCUUCAAUUUGAACGAUGUACUAAUUAACCGCUGCUCCAUCGACAAGGGUCAGAUUCCAUCCACCAUCGUUGAUCCCCCAUUAUGCAUGGCUAACUAGUUUAGUUGUGAAGAUGUUAAUUGGUUUACCAACCACACACAAUGAAAAAGCUCGUACGUUAGUUGGGUUUAGGCCUUGGCGUUAGGUGCUUAUCCGCUCACCCGAUCGAUCAAGCGAGCUAGUGCAUCAUCCUCUCCGACCCGUUGCUGAUUUGACCUGCACAUGCCGUCUCCAUUAUCCUAUGUCAAGCAGCUCAGAUUUCUCAUUUCAAAAAGCACGGAAACCGUGCGCCAAGCUGUCCAGCUCGCUCAGCUAGGAUGGCAUCAACCGUCGUCAGUCGACUGGCAACGGGUUCCGUAAUCUUGCUGGAUUGAGCCGAGAAGCCCAUCGGAGCCCAGUUCAACGGCUCGCAUAAAAUUCAGAAUCGGGAAAUUUUUUAUUUUUAUAUAUUUUUUUACUAUUUUGCAGAAAUAAAUAGCGGAGGAAAAAAUUAGCAAAUAUAGACAUAUACCGCCGGAUGAACCAGCGGUAGCUGGUUAUGCGGCGGUAACAGCCUUCCGCCGAUUCAAACGGCGGGAGCGGUAAGAUCCCGCCGGAUCAGUCGGCGGUAGGCGACCCCACCCUUUGAAACGCGAAGAACGGCCGGUUCAUUCGGGGAGAAGAGAAGAGAAAGCGAGGGAGGAGAGGAGAGGAGAGGAGAGAAGAGGAGAGGAGGGAAGAAGAGAGGGAUGGGAGGAGGGUGGAGAUUGAAGCAAAGCUCUGCCGGAUAUGCGCUUCGCUUUAUGUAUUAUUUGAAAUCUCGCAGUUUAUCUUAACUCAUAGUUAGUAGAUGUAGUAGUCGAUAUCAUUUAUAAAUGGUGUAGUGUUAAGUAUUAGAUCAAAUGUAGGUGUACAUAUGAGACAUAGACAAAUUUGUGGUAUGGUGGAUUUAGCUUAGUUAUUUUGGUUAAAGUAAAUUUAGUUUUUUGAUUUAUUUAGAUAAUUUUAAAAUUAAUAUUGUUGGCAAUGCACGAGUUAUAAUUUUAUAUAGUUAUUCAGAAUGUAGGUGUUAUUGGGUUAGUUAAAAUUAAUAACAUUUAGUAAUAAUAUUUGUUCAUGUCGUGUAUAAAUUUGUAUAGUUCUUCGAAAUGUAUGUGUGAUUAGGGUUAGUCAAAUUUAGUAAUAUUUAGUAAUGAUCUAUCUUGAUGUCGUGUAUAUUGACAGGGUAAAGUAAAAUUAAUUUGUUGAUAUAUUUAGAUAAAUCUAAAAUUAAUAUUGUUGGCAAUGCACGAGUUAUAAUUUUUAUAGUUUUUUAAAUGUAGGUAUUGUUGGAAUAACAUGUCGUGUAUAUUAACAGGUAUGUUAACAGGUACGUCGGACAGUUUAUUUUUCCAAGUACUCUAUGGUUCGGGGGAGGUUAGAUAUGGUUCAGAAGGGGUAGAUUUGUCUGAAUUUAAGUCAUUCUGGAAACAAAUACCAAGAGCAAGAGAGAGAACUUUGGCAUCAAUACUGACACGCAUUUGUGGACUGUUGACGUGAACCGUCAUUGAAAAGCCUACACAGUAGACUACAAGGACCCUAAAUGUGAGCCUUCUCAGGCAAAUGGGACUCCACACUGAGCCCUACGUCCCUACACCUGCAAAGUCUGUAUCUAAACAAAUGGGGGCACAAUGCACCUCCAUCUCAACACUCCUUAUGUGGACCUCCCUCUCCCGUAUCCUUCCACACCACUGAGUAGGAGGAAGAACAAUAUCAUUCGUAAGAGGGAGAGGUCAUGGGAGGAGCGGAAGAGGAGGGGAUGCUUUUAUUCCCACCAUCACUUGGUCAAGUUCUUUUGACCCAACGGAGUAUAAGGAACCCCUCGACGACUUCCCUUUGUAUGAUAGGGCUAACUACGCCCCUCCAAACUGCCUUAGACCGUCAUAAUGUGUGGCCAACGUAUCACCAUGGCGUGGCUUGCGUUGUGCAGUUGUUUGAUGGCUACGGUGAUGGAAGCUGGUAUUUCUUUCGAUGCUCGUAUGCCUUGGUGAGUCAUGUUAUUACUUCUUUACUCUUGCUAAGCUUUUCGUGCUACAAACUAACAUCAUGUUCAGUUUUAUCUUGAUGAAGAAAGCUGCCUCUAUACGAAGUGGGCCGAUCCUCCACUUCCUGAACCAACCCAAGAGUACAUCCACUACCUCAAGUGCAAGAUCUUUGACCUCAAGCGUAGGGUGGAGGAUCUUCAAGCCGAAGUUGAUGCAAAUCCUUCGGCGGUUAACAUCGCAGGUGACCCGAUUUGUAUUGAUCCAUGGUGCAAGUGCCCCUACCAUCCAUACCAUCACAACAAGGAUCGCCCACCGUCACUACCUUCCUCUGGGGGUGCUGGAUACUAUGAGACUAGGCUUUUCAGCUCUCUCGAAGCCAGUUCUACUAGAAAGUAGAGAUGACUCCGUCCCCAACUAUUUCAAUUAUCUAAGGCGUGUUAGGUUUAGCAACGACACAUAGUUAGGAUAGCCAUCCAUGCUGCACACGCCACUGCAAUCUAUUAUUUAGUCUAGGGUCAUCGGUGUUCAGCACGAAUUUCAUUCUCAUAUGUUGUAAUUUCGCUGGAAACAACUAUGUAUUACAUGGUCGGGAAGUAAUUCAAUUUUUAAUAUGAGAUCGAAGCGCUCUCUCUCUCAAAUUUGGAAUUUCAUAUUCAACUAAUAAUGACAUAUUUGAAUAUUUAGUGCUUCCAAUCUAACUUUAUAUAUUUUUAUAACUAAGGAAAAAUGUCAUGAAAUAAAAAAAUUACACAAAGUUAUAGCCAUUUGAAAUGGCUAUAGACGUCUCCAUCUCCGGCACUGGCGGCGUGGCUGGAGAAGGGAGGUGGGCUUACCGCCGUUUCAACACGCAGUAAGCUCUAUCUCCCUCCAGGUCACGUGACAUGUAAGCUACCGCCGGUUCAAACAACAAUAAUAAUUUUAAUUAUUUUUUGAGUUAGUUAUUGUCAUUUGAAACGACUAUAGCCGUUCUACCUAACUGUAUAAGUUUAGAUUUGUAAUUUUUUUAUCCGAUAUUUUUGCAAAAUAGUAAAAAGAUAAAUAUAAAAAUAAAAAAUUCUAGAAUCGGACCAUCGUUUGCAUCCACAUCCUAUGGGCCUAAACUGGCCCUCGUUCUACAUGCUGCCGGUCUAGGCCUAAACUCUAAAGCCUAUCUGGGCCUGAGCUGAACGUUUCCCAAUGCUUCAAUGCUCUUUAUAUAUCGGCUUGAUAAAUUUCAGCUGCGAGAGACAAGGGGGUGUUUGGGAGGGGACUUUAGUCCCCUCGUAUCAAAUGUUUGAACACUAAUUAAGAGUAUUAAAACUAAACUAAUUACAAAACUAAUUAUACAACCUCUAGGCUAAAUCGCAAGAUGAAUCUAUUAAGCCUAAUUAGUUCAUGAUUUGAUAAUGUGGUGCUACAGUAACCAUUCACUAAUGAUGGAUUAUAUAGGCUUAAUAGAUUCGUCUCGUGAUUUAGCCUAGGAAUUCUGUAAUUAGUUUUGUAAUUAGCUUAUGUUUAAUUCUUCUAAUCAGUAUCUGAAUAUCCGAUGUGACAUGAUCAAAGUUUAGCCUUAGUAUGCAAACGUCCCCCGCAGCCAGCCAUGAGAGAAAGGAGGAAAGGAACCAGACUCCGGAGCUGGAAUGAAUAGUUUGCAGGAGCCAGACAGAGAGGACAUUGAUGCAGUCGCUCCUGCAUCGAAUCGAAUCCAACAAGUAGCCAAAGCUAGCCGUAGCACGGUAGCAGGAGUAGUAAACUCGUGAGGUCACGUCCACAGGCCACUCUCACUCAUGGCGACGCCGUGAAUCCCGGCGGUGCUGAGUACCGUAAAGCCCAGCCUGCCACCGCAUUGGCUGCCGGCGCGGGAAGCAUUCAGUUUUCCCACUAGAGCGGCAUCAGGAUCAGGAGGAAUGGAUGAUCUGACCGCACAAGCGACCGUACGUGUAGCCGAGCCGUGUAGUCCAUGGGCUCAUGGCUCCAGCGUGACGCACAGUAAUUUCUUCUUCCCUUUCAGUGCGAGCAAUCGAUGCUCAUCUUGUGUUUAGCUCGUGAGCAAGAUCGUCAGUAAACUGUGCUACGGAAUAGGUUCUGAAUGCAGGGUGAACAUGUAAAACCACGUGCGUUUACUGGUAGCUUUGGGAAGCAGGAACCCUGCAACCCUUAGGGCCUGUUUUCUUCCACUUGCUAAACUUUAGCAGCCGUCACAUCGAAUGUUUAGAUACCAAUUAGGAGUAUUAAACGUAGACUAUUUACAAAACCCAUUACAUAAGACGAAUCUAAACGGCGAGACGAAUCUAUUAAGCCUAAUUAGUCCAUGAUUUGACAAUGUGUUGCUACAGUAAAUAUUUGCUAAUGAUGGAUUAAUUAGGCUUAAUUAGUCUUAAUAGAUUCGUCUCGCCAUUUAGAUUCCACUUAUGUAAUUGGUUUUGUAAAUAGUCUACGUUUACUACUCCUAAUUAGUAUCUAAACAUUCGAUGUGACACGUGCUAAAAAUAAGACACGGGAAGAAAACGCCCCCUUAGCUGGACAAGACAAGGCCUGAAGAUUGUAAUGAAGAGCAGACAGGUGCUGAAUUCGCUCGCGCAUACAGCUGGACGCAUCAAAUUUCGUUGCAGACUCGACUCGGGGUAGCUGAGGGGGUGAAAUGCGUUCAACCAGUCACUCACCCAGUCGUCAGCACAAGGUAAAUGCUUGCUAGUGGCAGGGGUACUAGCACAGUAGAAUCACGACGCUCUGAAGACGCAGGCAUGCAGCAAAUGCUGCAGCAGAGGAGCUCCUGAGGACGCAGGCAUGCAGCAAAUGCUGCAGCAGAGGAGCCCCUGCUGCCGUUUCAUAACUGGGCGGCCCAAGGCCGGAGAGGAGAGGAGCCGAAUCUAUGGACAAAAUUUUUACUACUAGAGCCCAAGAUUGAAGACCCUGCUGUAUGCUCUGGUCUGAUCUGAGGCAUCGACCCUUACUGAUACCCUCCUUUUCGGCUGCACUGCAGCGGCGCAUAGCUAGGCGGCUCACCUGGGUCACGCCCAGGGAACGCCAUGAUUUCCGGCUCAGAUGCCAGGCCGGGCUGUCUGCUUGUAUGUUGUUCUCCCUCUUGUAUAUCCAUCCACGCAAUACUGCGAGAGUCAAGAGCUUUGCCCGGAGAGGGGGCAGCUGCUCGGUCCAAAUUCAAUCCGCAGAAGAGGACGAGCCGUGCGAACCUCGAGUCAUUGCCAGUCACUCGGCUGGUUUCACGGUGCGACUGACUCGUGUAGGAGUCUUCAGUUAUGCGGGGGAUUUUACAGCUCAAAUUUUACUGCAUGAAAGAGCUACAAAACGUUCACUAGGCUAGGCCGCACUGUAAGAUGGAGCUGAACUGAAGCAUGAACAAAAAUUUUCGGUGGUUUCCCGGCCGUCGGUUUACACCGAAAACCCGCUCAUUCCGUCAUACGGGUAUCUACUGUAUUUCCCAUUUUUUCAUUGCCCAUAGCAAUGAGCUGAUUGAUCGAGAAUCAUGGUAAGCAAGGAAAGCUUCUGCAAGCUGGGCAAGCUGUCGCCUUGCCGGGCCGUCGUGCACUCGCGAGCACGCAAGCGAAUAAAACCCCCUGCAGUGCAGCCUGCAACCCGUAUCGCGGUAAUGAGCGCUGUUUCCGGCACGCCCAACGGCUCAAAAGGGUUGUCCCGAUACUGUUCCGGCGACACGCAUGCGCCGUCGUCAUCCGGAGAAGAUCCGUUGGUGGCCUGGGUUUGCCGGCUCUGAUGAAAAGCUGCGGCGUGUUCAAGGGAUGAUCGCUAGGUGCUUUGCCCCUCGCUGACGACACAGCGGCAUGACCAGGUGAGGAGGGGCACGGGAUAUGCUCCCCGUCCGGUAUGCAACCAUGGUGUAGUCUACAUGCAGUAUGCAACCGUUGUACAUAUAUUUAUGGGACCAUCAGAAGGUUUGGACAGUCCUAAAUAUAGGACGGGACAUCCAAACGUAUCUGACAUGAAGAUCAUAGGUCGUGACGGCGUAGUCUACAUGAAAACACAUGAACUAGUCGAGGAUUAGGAAAAUACUCGUCGUAAUAAGAGUAGAACUCCUGUGGUCGUAUCCGACUACUAUUUUUGUAACCAACCGACCUAUAACCCUACUCCCGGCAAUAUAAGGUGAGACGGGGACUCCAUCCAAAUCAAUUUGAUCCAACCAACACACAGGACGUAGGGUCUUACCCAAUCUAGCGGUCCGAACCUGUCUAAAUCGUGUGUCUGCGUUUAUCUUCGAGUUCUUGAUCUCGACGAGCCCCACUAACCAGAACACUACCUCGGGCACCCCCCUCGGUAGGUUGCCGAGUUUAAACACCGACAGCAACUACUCCUUCUGCUCCAAAUUAUAAAUUAUUCCAAUUUUAUUGGAGAGUCAAAGCAUCACAAGUUUGACCAAAUUUAUACAAUAAAGUACUAACAUCCAAGAUACCAAAUAAGUACUAUUAGUUUCUUCAUUAAAUAUUAGUUUCUUCAUUAAAUAUAUUUUUAUAGUAUAUCUAUUCGAUGUCAUAAACCUCUGUGAUCCUUUCUAUAAUUUUGAUCAAAUAUAAAAUAGUUUAACUCUCCAAGAAAAUGGAAUGACUUAUAAUUUGAAACGGAUGGGGUUGAAACGGAGGGAGUAGAUUACUAGCUUGGUCCUUUGGUCAGCAUGGAAUGGAAACUGAACGUGUAUGAGUAUGAUCGCUGCUGCCUGCCUGUGCAUGUGCUCACGAAAACCAUGAUUGCUUGAACCUUCUGAUCAGCGUGAACUGCCCUGCCCCCUCACAGUCACGGCAGUGGGAUAUAUGCAGAUUAUUCUUGAAAAGCAUACUCUCAUAAAUUUACUAUUUACAUUGCAUAGUUACAUUCUAAUACAAAAUACAGGUCGAAGUGGCGAAUCGAAGACCGUGAAAAGUUACACAUUUUGAGAAGGAUACCAGCGUACGGCCGAUACCAUUUUGCAAAGUUUAAAUCUCCAACUUAAAAGUAAAUGCUUUCAAAGUUUGUUUCAUUGGGAAGCCCAUAAAGAUCCUGGUCCAAAAAAAUAACAUUGGUCGACAAUAUGUAUUAUCGUCAAGUCACCGUUGGAUAAGUGUGAGUCAUGGGCACUUGAGCCACUGAUGACCACUGAAGGAAACAUCCUGAAAAAAAAGGGUAGAUGAAUGAAAAUGCAUGGUAGCUGUGCACGCUCGUCCAUUCCAUUCCUACUGGCAAAGGUCGGCCGGUUGGAGGACUGUGACCUAGCGAAAAGCUCCUAACAGUUAACCCCCUUUGAUGAUUGCAACAAGUACACAGAAGUGGACCGCGGCCGUGAUUGUGUCUUAUAGGCACAGCAGCCUCGGCGAAGCAUGAUUAGUGGACUACGGGCCCGGCCGGCACAACGCUGCCACGGAGCACCGACCAUCCGUGACUUUUUCGUGCAGUGAUGGACGAGGAUGAUCCUGCGUUGCUGCAGGCAGAGCUAACCCUACUGCUUUGGAGAUAAUAUACGGAUGAUAAUGAGACGAGUGCAAAUGCAAAGGCAAACACACAGCCACUGGACGAGGACAUGCAUCUUUGCGUCGGUACAUUGCUCGUGAGGAUUCAUGAUGAGGUUGGAGGCUUGGAGGGGAGCAUAGCUAGCCAAGGAGCCCUGCAGGUAACAAAAGCGGCGACAGCAGCCACCACAACCAGGUCCAUAAAACAAAGCAGCUACCGGCCAGCCACGGCUCCUGAUCGAGGUACUGCCUCCGGGCGGCCGGAUGGCCACCCAACCGGCCAACCCGCUGGUAGGUGGUGGGCCUAUAAGCAUAGACGUGGCGUGGCGACGGCGUCGCCGCCCCGAUCGUUCUUGUACGCGUACGUGUAGGCGAUGAUUGGUCGCGGCACGGGCACUGCACGAGCGUGCGCAUGCAAAAAAGGCUAUAAAGCCUAUAGAGAGUCAGAGAGCUCGCUCUCUCCGUCUCCGGCACGCGCUCGAGCUCUGCUUUGAAGGCGGGCACGGCUCGCAAUAGCAAGCUCCUUUCCAUGCCGGCGCCGGCGCCGGCGCCGUCGUGGACGGCAUCCAUGGCGGGCGCGCAGGACCACGCUAAUUAUUCGGGGGCGCAGCGCAGGUUCCCAACUUCCCAGUCUCCCAGAGACAGAGAGCUAGAGGAUGCGAUUCGAUUCCAGCUCCGAUCCGCCCCUCGCGCCGGGCGACCGGAUCCCGAUGGAGCUCUCGUCGCGUCAUCCCAAGCUUAACUAGACCCGCCCUUGUCCUCGUGUUGACCGGGUUAACUAUAUGUCGAGUCGAGUACUCCGGCGCGCGGUCCGGCCGGCGCCCUAUCCUGCCCCGUCGCCUGCUCUCAGGCGACGUACGCCGGCCGCAUGACAGGCACGGAGUACCCGUGUCGAGUCAUCAGAGGGAUCCGCAGGGUUCGUUUAGAGCAACAAUUGAACCACGUCGACCUAGCGCAUGGAUUACUGACCUUGCCGUUCGUGAACCAGCACACUGCAUUGCGAAAUGCGAACGGCGUAUGCUGCAUACGUGUGACCUGUGACAGUUACCUUUGUAGGCGCUUUUAAGCACAGACUAGUACUAGUAGUAGUUGCAUUUUAGGAAUUGCAUAUCGUUUAAUUUUGCCACGUAACGCUUGCACCAGUCUGUAACUUGAUUCGACUGAGGGGCGCUCGGUCUCAUAAGCCGAAAGCAACAUGUGGUUUUGUUUAGUUAGCCGCAUUAUUAUAGCUUAUAUAAUCCAAGCUUACAUGAUACAGACUGCCUGUUCUGUUGCUCCAUCGGCAUUUAGGUGCAGUGGGCUCCCAGCCUGCAUCGUGGGGUACAAAAUAUUCGACCGUACUAGCUUGUUGAAGCAGCUGGACCCACAAGAUUGAAGCCUCUCAUCUGUACGAGUAUCGCUGGAGUUUUUGCUUUGUCUGGGAGGAGGUUAAAUUUUAGCCCCGUCACAUCAAAUGUUUUGAUACUAAUUAGAAGUGUUAAAUCUAGACUAAUUACAAAACUAAUUACACAACCUGUAGACUAAAUCGUGAGACGAAUCUAUUAAGCCUAAUUAGUCCAUGAUUUGACAAUGUGGUGCUACAGUAACCAUUCAUUAAUGAUGGAUUAAUUAGGCUUAAUAGAUUCAUCUCGCGAUUUAGCCUAGAAAUUCUGCAAUUAGUUUUGUAAUUAGCUUAUAUUUAGUUCUACUAAUUAGUAUGCGAACAUCCGAUAUAAUAGGCUAAACCUCCAAACACCCUUGCAUUUGGCAACCUUUGGGCUUUGGCCUGCGGUACUCACGUACAUGCUCCCUUUUUAUAUUUUAUAUAAUUUUGUUUUCCAGACCGUAUCCGUACUCGCCGCAGCGUAGCAUGCAUGCAUGUAGACAUUGCGCUGGCAGGACCAAGAGCGAGGACGGUCAAAGUCAACACCCAUCGACAAGCCGCAGAGGAACGGAAUGAUGAGCGAGCCCUCCCACUCCCACCAAGGACAACAACAAGGAGAAGCUCAACGACGUACUACUCGCCAGCUGCACUACGCAUAUCACGUGGCCCACUCAUUUGACCCCACCGAUUAACCGCCCUCGGCCCCACACCCGACUCGCUGGCCCCACCCCUCCCGUUUGUUUCACUUCCACCCAGAUCGCGUCGCGCAUAUAAAACGGCGGGAGUCCAGUCUUCUUCCUUCACCGGCGCCGUCAUCUCCGUAACGCACAGAGCCACAUGCGCAGGAGAGCUAUCUAGCUAGGCAGGCUAGCCACACCUCACGGCUCACGAUGUCGUCGUCGUCGGCCAGGGCGCGGCGGGGCGGGAGCCUACAGUUCCCAGUGGGGCGGUGGCGCCACGUGGCGGUGGUCGACACCGGGUGCGGCUGCCGCCCGCGCCGGGCCACCUCGCGCCUGCUCAGCCAGCUGCCCUCCUUCCUCCGCCCCUCGCCCAAGCCCCCGCAGCAGCCGCCGCGGAGCAGCUCCCGCUCCUCCUCCGGCUUCUUCCCGUCCUCCGCCUCCACGGCAUCCUCCUCCGCCGCCACCUUCACCACCACCCACUCCUCCUACUCCAACUACUCCGCCUACUCCAACUCCUACUCGGCCGCCGCCGCCUCCUACGCCAAGCCGCAGCAUCCGACGGCGGCGUCGGCCGAGGCGCCGCCGCCGCCGGCGUCCUCCCACGCGGCGGCGUCCAGGAGGAGGCAGCAGCAGGGCAGGAGGAAGAAGAGGUACGAGAAGAUGGGCGCCGCGGCAGGACAGGACCAGGAGGAGGACGUCGGCGUGGCCGUGGAGAAGGAGUCCUCCGACCCGCGCGCCGACUUCCGUGAGAGCAUGGUCCAGAUGGUGGUAGAGAUGGGGCUCUGCGGCUGGGACGACCUCCGCUGCAUGCUCCGCCGCCUGCUGGCCCUCAACGCGCCGCGCCACCACGCCGCCAUCCUCGCCGCCUUCGCCGAGGUCUGCGCGCAGCUCACCGCGCCCCCGCCGCACCCGGCGUACCACGCAUACGACUACCACUACCACUACUGACCAGCCGAUGAGCUGGCUGGCUCGCCGCCGCUCCACCAGCAUCAGGCGUCAGCGACCUCCUGUUCUGGAGGUCUCGAGAUCCUGGCACCACCCGUGUGCUGCAGAGUGAAUUACAGUCACCGGUGGUGAUAGGAUCUCGUAGUAGUUUCGUUCAUCAGCAUUAUCAGUACCAACGGGUCCUUGUGUGUUCCGUCCAGUAAUCCGUCAGGUAGUUCAGCUUCUGCUCGGUGUGCUUGUGGAUUUGUUGCUAGCUUGGAAUAGCUCUAGCUGGCCUUGCUGGGUGUUGCAGGGGGUGUUUGGAAGACCGGGGCUAACUCCUAAUCCCAGCCUUUUAUCCUGUUCUCCUUCAACUGAAGAUGGACUCCCCCACCUUUCCUGCAACUUUGCUUCAACUGUCUGAGUGAUAACGCGCGAGUGUGUUGAAAUAACCAUCUAAAAUGCUUAACCCCUGCAUUGCAUUUCCCAGUAAAAUUGCAUCUCUGUAACAGAACUUACGAGCUCCACCCGGCACCGGAGGAAGACUCCACUGAGGAGCCUCACCCCUUUGAAGGCGAGCCUGAACCGUAGCACGACCCCGAGGACCUACUAACCGUUCCUGAAGGCAAGCCCUGGUGCAUGAAUUCCCUAUUUUACUUUUAUGCCACUUAUUGAUGGUUAUGAUUGUGCAUUUACGUUGGUAGGAGUUGAUUGGAACCGUAGAUGCAUGAACUUAGUACCUUGAUUUGAAUACUAGUUGCUANNNNNNNNNNNNNNNNNNNNNNNNNNNNNNNNNNNNNNNNNNNNNNNNNNNNNNNNNNNNNNNNNNNNNNNNNNNNNNNNNNNNNNNNNNNNNNNNNNNNUACGAAUCUAUUACGCCUCAUUAGUCAUGAUUUAACAAUGUGGUGCUACAGUAGCCAUUCGCUAACGAUGGAUUAUCUAGGCUUCAUAGAUUCGUCUCGUGAUUUAGCCUAGGGGUUCUGCUAUUAGUUUUGUAAUUAGCUCAUGUUUAAUCCUCUUAAUUAGCAUCCGAACAUCCGACGUGACAGGGCUAAAGUUUAGCCCUUGGUAUCCAAACACCCCCGCAGUGUGCUUUGUUAGUUUGUUUCAGUGUGUUUGCCUGUUCGGCUGGCCUUUGGUUUUGGAUGAAGGUCUCUGAAAAAGUGUACUAGUUUAGUAGCAGCAGCAGCUUUAUUUAGUUCUUGAUUAUAUAUAUGUAAUGUAACUUGCUAUGAAAUGUUCGAGGUGUUUAUGCUUAACGCAUGGCACUUGAUUUUCCAGCGAGCUAGCAAUGAAAAAGUUUUACAGGUAGACCUCCAAGUCCCAAAGUUUUACCAUGGUUGAACCGUACCUCUGGGUUAACAGGCUGGAAGUAAUAAAUUAUGGCGUCCUGGUGUCUGCCUGUCCUGAUGCAGUGACGUGUACUAGUUACUGCCUGAAACCAUCUGAAUGUGCAUUCAUCGCUGGAACAGAACGCAGUGCCCGUGGCAUCGGUAGAUCUCUUUAUAUGCCCAUCAGGAUUCAGGAGGUGGAGCGCUGAGACGGGCAUUAACGUUACUGAAUGCAUUCAGGCGUCGUACCUCGCGCUCUCUAUCUGGUUUUACACUUUUACUACUGCACAGCUUUACUGGAACUCGGUGAAUACAUGCGUGUGCUUUUUUUUUUUGGAGCGUAUAGUGAAUAUAGUACUAUGUACUUGUAGUGGAACUGUUCCAGGUACUUGCAUCGCAUCAUUUGAGAGUUGUUUGAGGUACCCGUGAGCUGUGGCAACUGGCAAGGUCGUCCAACCCAACCGAGCAAGAGAAAGCUGCCCCUACCUCAAAGACACUUCAGAAUCAUUCCAUUCUCGUUGCAUGAAAAAGGGUCAAUCAUGCCAAUUUUUUGUGGAAUUUUUAGCCAUUUCUCAUGAACCACUACAGCUCCAUAUACGAACAGGUGUAGCCGUGUAGGAGUACUCCAUCUCAGCCCGGGUACUUGAGCCGCUACUGCUCAUGGAGUCAUGGAUCUUUCUUUCUGGAAGGAGGUGCGUGCGUGCGGUAGCAUGUGUCCUUGUGCUUUGAGCCAAGCCCCCGGAGGAGCUUUUCUUUUCAGGAGCUCAGGCGAGCGAGCGUUGCGUUGGGUUCCUCUCCUCUCCUCUCCUCUCCUGGGCAAGCACAGCACGCAUGAUGAUGUAGCUGCCUGUAGUUGGGCAUGAUGCUGAGCUUUGCCUUUGCCUGCCGUGCAUGCGUACAGCUGCAGGCGCACGUAAUCAUCAUGCAAGGUGUGCAGGGGAGAGGAGUCCGGCCGGGUGAUGAGUCCUUCGGGGCCGGAGUUGCAGCUGUAAGGCCACCUAAAGCCCAUACAUCGCCUCUGGGCCUUCCCAUUGAAUUUGGCCUGCUCAAGCAGUUGGUUGGAGCCCAAACUGACAACGGCGUCCGGCCGGUCAGAGAACGGAUCGGAUCACCGGCAAGAAGAGCAGCCAUUGGUCGAUUCCGUUGACCCUUCUUCUGGGCGCGACGCUCUUGAAUGCGCGCUCCUGAACCCGAUGCAACUAUACCAGAGGCUGGUCCUCGUCAAGUCGUCAGUCAUGAGCUGCUAACCGCGCCAGUACGGGCAUUUGGUUCUUUGCUUAUUUUAGCACGUAUCACAUUGAAUGUUUAGAUACUAAUUAGAAGUAUCAAAUGUAGACUAUUUACAAAACCCAUUACAUAAGUGAAGGCUAAACGGCUAGACAAAUCUAUUAAGCCUAAUUAAUCCAUCAUUAGCAAAUGUUUACUGUAGCAACACAUUGUUAAAUUAUGGACUAAUUAGGCUUAAUAGAUUCAUCUCACCGUUUAACCUCCACUUAUGUAAUGGGUUUUUAUAAAUAAUCUACGUUUAAUACUCCUAAUUAGUAUCUAAAUAUUCGAUGUGACGGAUGCUAAAGAGUACUAGAGCAGAGCCUGGUUAAAAAUUGGAACGGGUGAGGGCUCGAGGGCUUAGUUAGCUUACUGAAUCCGGACAUCUAAUUCAGCCUCCUUGGAGGUCGCGAACACGACUUGGGGUGUGGGUGGGUGGCUUCAAACGAGGGAAAAGCCCCCCUGCACUUCACUGAGGAUCACGCAACAUAUUGUAAUAGUACAGUCGAAGCAGUCAGAUCCAUAUCGAGGGCGACUCAGCAGGCGUGGCUCCCCGUGCCACGGGCUGGAAAGGCGCCCAGCGUUCCUGGUUUCAGAAGCUUCUCAUGCGGGAAUGGCCACGCGUGUGCGAUCCCAAGUCCGUCCAAAAACGGCUUGGCCCUUUUGAGGACGGCCUGUGGCUAUAGGCUAAACAAAAGAGUAGUAGAGCUCAAAAUCUUAGGCCGCGGAUUAUAUUGGAGCAAGUAGUCAGUCGUUGCGCGCUAAUCGUGGCAUCGCAAGUCGGAGCUGCAGACCAACACUCCACACUAGCGCCCUACUGCUGGAGGCGUGCCUGACAGCCUGAGGAAUACGUCUUCUCCGGUCGAAUGCUGGUUUCGCAUACGUCUUCUCAAGGCAGCUACGGAUCAGAUUGACCAGCAAUUAUGAGUAGUAGCGCUUAGCCCUGACAAGGACGCGGGUACUCUUGACCGGAUCCCUAACAGACUCCCGGGAUGACUAGGUCCGUCCGAUGAUCCGAUCCGACGUGCUCGACGCGCCCACCGGUCUUUUCACGUCGUACGCUACAAGUUGGGGCGCGUCCAUGGCGACCGCCGGGACCGUACCAGCAGCUAGCAGCGGAGCAAAAAUCCAUUGACGACGGAUCGCGCCGGGCCACACACGAACUGCUCACGCUUUAAUGGAGAGAUCAGGAUUCACAAGGGGUGGGGGGUCCGACUGCCCCCGAUCGACGCGAGCCCCCGGUCGGUCUGAUCGGACUCACGCGCGCGCGGGCCUCACCGGUCGACGGCGACGGCGGGUCGGCGGCGACGGUGACCGUGACAUGUCAGCAACGCAAGGCCGCCUAAUUAAUCAGGGGUUUCUACUGUGCAGCGUCCUACUACUGCUAUUGCCCGUGUACUGCAUGUAUGGUGUACGCAUGCGAAUAAAUACAGGCACAUGCCGCCCUUCGCUGGUGAGCCUAUUAAAUGGGGCUGUAUGCCCUCAGGAUGAGGAGGAUCCGCCACACCUACCGGUCGGUGCCUACUGUAUGUAUCAUCAAGCACGAGACAGUUUGUUAGCUAGCCUCGGAUCGACGUGAACAGGGCCGGUGAUUUUUUUUUCCCUUUUUGGAGGAGGUCAGCAUAGCCGGUGAUUAGUAGUGACUUGUGAGAGUGAUUGAUGGAGAAGAACGGCCAUUAAGAGGAUAAGCCUGAGAUUACUGUGACGCCUACAAAUGUGAGUAACUAGUAAAGGAGCUCUCCAUGAAUUGUUCCUGAAGCUAAGCUGCUCUCGCCGUAUUGAAUUGUCAGCAACGAGCUUUGCUUCGCUAGUCGCUUCCCAUGCAAUUAAUGCACUAUCAUACACAUCGCAUUGGAUCCUUCCUCCGCCGAUCCCAUUCCCACCUACUACUACUGCCUGCUACCACUAAAAUAAAAAGAACUCGAGAAAAAGAAAAAAAACACUACUAAUCGUCUUGUCGUUAAUUUGCUUGGUUAAUCAUCAAAACACUAACCAGCACCGGCACCGGCAGGAAGGCAUCGAGAGAUUUGCUAGGCGAUCGAUUGCGGGGCACGCAGUGGAGCACUAGCCGCAGCGGGAGCCGGGAGCACCACUGGCACGAGCACGAUCAUCACCGGUGUCAGUGGCAGCACUACUCGAUCGCCUUCUCCUCCUCCUCCUCAUCCGCCACGUCGUCCUGGACGUCGGGCCCGGCGGCGCACGAGGACGACGACGAGGAGCAACAUGCGGCGGCUUCGUUUCCUCCGCCGCAUUGCUCCACCGCAGCUGCUGCGGUCGUCAAAGUUGUAGCAGAAGCGGUGGUCGCGUCGCCAGCGGCACUGGUGGUAGUGGCCGCCGUGCUCGUGCUCGUGCUGGUGGUGCAGCGGCUGCCACUGCUGCUGCUGCUGGUCGUGCUCGUCUCGGCGGCGGUGUCGGAGGGGGAGGACGACGCGAGGCCGAGGAGCAGGUCCACGAAGGCGCCCACGAUGAGGUGGUGGUGCUGCUUGCCGUUGAUCCGGAGGUACCAGGCCAGGAGCUCCUCCAGCGCCGCCCAGUCGCGGAGCCCGUGCGCGGACACCAUCUCCUCCAUGGACGCGCGGAAGUCGCCGUACGGGUCGCCCGAGUCCACCGCCACCGCCACGCUGCCCUCCGCCAGCGACUUCGACGACGGCGCGCACGGCUUCGCGUCGUCGACGUCGUCGUCUGUGUCGGGCGGCGUCGUCACCGUCUUCGUCUUCGUCUCUGUCUUCGCCUCCGCCGGGGAUGGGGCGGCCGUCGCGAGGAUGGAGUUGGACGCCGGCAACGGGCCCGGGUCGAAGAAGAAGCGGUCGGUGGACGUGCGCCCGAGGCUGCGGAUCACGGCCUCCGACCACUCCUCGGACGCGGUGGUGGUCGAGAAGCUGUCGACGUCGUCCAGCAGCUCAUCGCCCUCCUCCACCUCGUCGCCGGCGAGGGAGAAGAAGUCGACGUCCGCGGCGGGGUCGUCCAAGUAGACCGAGUUGACCGUCUUGUACAUUUCGCCGGGCGACGCCCCGCGGGCCAUCAGCUUAUUGUUCCCGGCCGUAGCAGGGGCGCCGCCCCGGCUUGCACCGGCUGCUGCCGACGUCGUGCAGCAGGGCUCCUCGCCGCCGGCGCCGGCGCGGAAGGAGCCGGUCUGCGGGUUGGUCCCGCAAGGGGGCCACGGCCACGGCGGGGUUGCCGCGCCGGCGGCGGGGGAUGAGGAGGGGGUGGAGUCGACGAUGAGUCUGGAGAAGAUGGAGGCCAGGCCUUUCUUGCCCAUUUCUUGGCGGUCGAUGGAUGGAUGGAUCGAGGGAAUGCAGCGGGGCGACGAUGGAUGGAAUGGAGAGAAUUAAUGGUCCCGAGCUCGAACGACUUGAAGGAGAUGGAGAGAAGGAGAGGGAGAACGGGGAGUUGAAGUGUUGAAGUGGUUGAGGAGUCGGAAGGAAGGAGAGGAGGCCGGGCUGAGCUCGUCAAGCUGAACGCUGGCUGAGGCUGGCAGGCUGCAAUUAAGGGAGGGAGGGAGGGAGGGAGGGAGGAACAUGGGGAUGGGCCCGUGGCUCAUGCAUGUGCCCGUACUUGCUCUGUUGGUUAGACGGAGAUUACAGGGACUGGCCAGCAUUGGCCACAAGAGACGACGACCGUGCCAUUGUUUGGUGUACACACAAUGCACUUGUGUUACGUAGCACAUGACGGAGCUAGGUCAAAUUUUUGCAUGGCAAAAAAUAUGGCCACCCAAAGCCAUCUUACUCGCAUUCCAUUUCUGACUGACCACCCAGCGUUAUCAGUUACUCCAUGACUCCUCUCUUUAGUUUCUCUGAAACCAUGCCUCGUGCUUUUAUAUUUUUUAAUACAUCCCUCGUCUGAAUGAUUAUGAAGCCGAGAACGCAUGAUUUCUAGGCUGUCGGAUCAGGAUGGAACACUUAACACCGACUUGUAUUUCUUUCCUUAUCUUCUCCUAAACAGCACAGCUGUUGCUGCUAGACGGUCUCUCCUCUCCCUCGUUGCCAUUGUAUUGUGACGAAGUAUACUUUAGUGCGACGAAAAUCAAUGCUGUAACUGUAACCACCUUUUGCAACUGAAAGUGAGCUUCAUUUGCAUGCCCAUCAACAGCAAGUAUACACGGAAGGAAUUUGAAAGAGACCCUGCACGGCUGCACGAAUGGCACGGCAAUAAGCUACCUGUACUCUUGUUUCUUGAGACGAACUACCUGUAAUCUUGUUGCAAAUGCGGCACAGUAGCAGCAGCCUAGGAUCCGGGUGUGGAUCGACCAUCGAUUGCAUUGCACUUGCACGGUGAGAGUAAAUUAAAAGCUCACGCCCCGUUGGUUGGUGGGUGCAGGUGCAGCGACCCCAACGAGUUACCCCUUACUCGGCGCGUCGCUGUAGCAGCCGCAUGCAGUAGCGACCGGGGCGGCGGCAAUGUUUCAUUCCGAGCGGACUGCUGCUGGCCACUGUGUGACUGUGUCACGCUGUCACUGUGCACGCCCGGGCACGCACCUGACCCCGGGCAGGGCAGGCAAUCUUUGCGUGCGCGGCGAGCAGAGCAUGCUCCGUAACGGCACGAACCGCGGGAAGAUGCUGCGGUUCACUGUAUGGGCUCGAUCUUGCCGUGGUUCGAAAUAGCAACGCAUUUUGAUCUAGUUUUUUUUUUCAUGUCCUGCCGCGGAGAUCUAUCUGAUGAUUCUGAUCGCUUGGCCCCUGCACACCACUGCGUGAGAGUUAGGGCCUGUUUGCUAACAAGGUGUUAAAGUUUAACACUCGUCACAUCGGAUGUUUGGAUGCUAAUUAGGAGUAUUAAAUAUAGACUAAUUACAAAACUAAUUGCAUAGAUGGAGUGUAAUUCGCAAGACGAAUCUAUUAAGCCUAAUUAGUUCAUAAUUUGACAAUAUGGUGCUACAAUAACCAUUUGCUAAUGAUGGAUUAAUUAGGCUUAAUAGAUUCGUCUCGCAAAUUAGCACAGAGUUCUGCAGUUAGUUUUAUAAUUAGCUCAUAUUUAGUUCUUCUAAUUAGCAUCCGAACAUUCGAUGUGACACUGUUAAAGUUUAACGCCUCGUAUCCGAACACCGCGUUAGACUGAUCGCCGGUGCGGUCACCGUCGAUCCAUGCGCCUGCUUGGUUUUUAUAGUAUUCGACAGGCAUCCUGCUGGCGCAUAGCAUAAUUGCUGCACGGUGCAGUUUCGUCCUCAGAAAAUAAUGUUUUCACGGCGGGCUGGAACCGGACUGACCAGCCCAGCAUUUCAUUCUCUCUCUUUUUUUAAAAAAAAAAGAAAAGAAAAAUGAAAACUUCCUGCUGGACAGUAUAAAAAAGAAGAUGUCCUGGCUAGAAGCUCGUUCCGUCAUCCGUGGAUGCGGAAUAGGCGGAGACAAGGGCUAGUACCAACGUUUAUUUACGAACAAGAUAAAAUGGAAGAUUCGCAAGGUGUGUUUGAAACAGCUCUAAAAAAAAAAGGUGUGUUUGAAACUUUGAAUUCGUGGCCAUGCGCGCGCAUUGCUUCAAUUUUCAUUUUUCUUUUUCCGAUUUGUGUUUAUGCUUCAAUUUCCAACCUUCUCCCGAUCUGUGUGUACCGGUUCUCUUCCGUACUCCCGUGGUCCCGCCGAUCAAAACCAAGAUAUCGGCCAAACUUCUUUUACCUUUCGACCAUCUGCUUGGAAAUGAUAACAUCCUUUUUUCUUGCAGAAAAUUGCACAGUAAUAAGUAGCGGAAUCGGAAGGAUAAAGAUUUGAAUUGCCAUGUUUCCCUACAAAUUCCACACAAAUUCGGAGGAUGUAUCAGUGCCACUAACAUUUAUAGUUAGGAUCCAAGGGCUUCGCAUCAACGAGCGAAUUUUCCCCAGAAGGGAAGAGCAGACAAAGAAAGGCAGGUACUGGUAGCUCACUAGCCCUGGCUGGUCAGUUUCAUACUAGAUCCAAAAAUAUCGAGUACUGGCGCCAAACGUGACGGCGACCAUACGCAGGAAAUUAAAAGCCCUGUAGCAGGGAAAUCAUGCGGAAGGGCUGAGGCGCUGUCGUCCGCUGGUCAUGCAAUCCCCAUGAAAUUCUGGCAAGCCUACAAAGGAGCCGAGAGGUACGUGCGCCCAAGCGCUUUGACGACGCUGCACGCCCGCAACCGACGUUCUUGGCAUCUUCCUUCCGCCGGUGGGAGCUCCACCAAACAACAAUAGCAUAGUAUCCGUUGAUCCGGUGUCGCAAAUGCUGAGUCCUCGUUGCCUGAAUGGAGUAGAAUGCAAUGAUACCAGUCGUGUUCAGAGACAGAGACUUUCAGAGUUCAGAGUUUCAGAUCCCGAUGGCCUGGAUUAUUGAUUGUCUGAUGACCUACAUUGGUAAAUGAAAGAGGAAGUUUUUUACGGGCUAAAUGGCUGUUCGUUUUGUGCCUGCCGAGAGAUACGUAGGUAGCAACACGAUUGGGGCAAUCUGCAAAUUAACACAGGAGAAGCUACGACUGUAGACCGCCGUCGGUUUGAUCUGUUGUUGUGGCCGUCAGAAUUAACAAGCUGCUUACUUAUCCUUACAGCCAAAGGAACACCGUGCCUGAUCAUGCUUUACUAGGCACGUGAGCAUCACAUGGAUACAUGGUUGACCGCACGAAUAAAACAUAUAUACUAGUGUUUUUUUUUCCACUGUGAUACCAAGCUCAGAGUCAGACGAUGUGGAGGAGUUUCAGAAUUGUCGGCGCAGCAUCAGCUUUGCUGUCCUGGCAUAUACGUGGCCUGUCGCCGGCGCUGCAAACCACUCCCGAAUGCUACUGAGAUAACGAAAGAUCUCAAGACGAUCCCUCCUCACCUCGUCAGUGCGCGCGGCGAGCGUGCUAUUAUUGGAACUGGCUAGUUAGUAAUUAAAUUAUUGGCUUCAGCGACAGCAAGUGCACACAUGGCUGUAUGAUUUGAUCUGAAACUACCUAAUACCGCCACAUUUUCUUCGUGGAUGCACGCGUACGGGCGCAUACGCACUCCAAUUAUCAUCCAACCAACAGUGCGAGAUAUAAAAUCCUACUACAAAGCUAUAAAAAUACACUAAAAAUGAACUACUGGCGGUCUAAAAUAAAUACUGAUGACGAUGCUUGUCCAAUGGCUAACGUGAGUAUACACACAAGAUUCUACACAUUAGUAGCUCAUUUUCACCCUAUCACUAACAGUAGGUACAGUACCCAAUUGUCUUUUCGUAUGCAUGGCAACCGUGGCGCUGUGCAUUGGCAACGAUCUCCCGCUGUACGAUGCACUGUAGGUCCAUGUGAAGCUUCAGUCGCCCGCAUGUAUGCGUACGCUCGGUAGAGGCCGGGCCAGUCACCGUCGCAUGCAUGUGUACGACGACCCUACAGAUACUGCUGGCCGGAGCUGCCAACCACAGUGCCGUGUGCAGAGCCAUUUUAGCUGCACCUGUAGUUUUUCACGACACUUGGUGAGGCGGGUAGAAAUCUAAAAUAAUCUGGGUACACACUUACGACAUGUACGCUACCGUCUAGAUCUGCUUGGAGCUUGUAGCUGGCUGUGCUGAUGUGGGUGUUCCUAGAUCUGUUCCAAGCUGAAACUGAAUUGUCAGUAGUGAGAACGACACUUGGUGCGGCUGGGAAAGAGUUGCUAGCCUUUGGGCCCUUUUCGGCCUGGUAACAAGCAUUUAUAGGCCGCAAAUAUGCAAUCUGGACGGCGGGGUGAUGGGCCGCUCUCAUGGGCCUCCAAGGUGACGAAAGGAGUCUCCUCUCUCUUGGAGUUACGCAUGGGCGUGGCCCAAAGCCCAAAGUUCAUGACCGCGCGUACGGCCGGAUUCUGUUGGAGUUCGAUGACAUCUCUCAAGAGUCAAGAGGAUGUUUUGGGUGCGGUGGCGUAGAAAUGCACAGACAUCAUCAUCGGCGUGGUUGGGCAUGAAUGCGAAUGCGAUGGACGCCCAUGCGGGCACGGAGAAGAGGAGGUCAUGAGCGCCAUCGGUACGUGUGCCACUCGCGUCUACGUUCAUAACGAUCGGGCAUCAGCGGUUUUCUUCGAUAACCGUCCGUCCUCAAACCGUCAAACGCCUUCUUCUUCUUUUCUUUAUACGUUUGAGUAAUGACUUAAAAGCUGGCAGGAAGGAGUCAGAAGCAGGAUCAAAGAAGCCCAUGGAUCUUGCAUCUAUCCAGCUACUGAGACGGAGCUGCCUGAGACGACUGAGUGACCGAGAGACAAGAGCAUAACUCAGCAGGUGGCUGCUUUAAACCGCGCGCGCAGGAGACGAGUAUAUACGUAGAUGGAUGCCUCCUCCCUGCAGAGCUGAGGUCGCAACAUUAUGGCGCGCCUUGAUGGCGCACUUGUAAGCAGAAGCAGGCACGCAGAGACGAGCCGAAAUGAAUUAAAUCCAUGGGCGCGAGCUGGCUCUUGGCUAUGGCUAGCGCGGAGGAGUACGUACGGCUCCUACUACGCGGCUCUCCUCUCCUCUCCUCUGCCGCCACUACUAAAUUCCUGUGACGCAGCACGCAACCAUCGCCCGUCGCUUCGAGCGAGCUGCAUCUGCAUUGGCAUUGCGUCGCGUCGCGUCGCGUCGAGCCGCACCGCACGCCAUUACUCGCGGCGAUCCUCCCCUCCUCCCUCCCCUCCUCCCAACUGCAUGCAUUCAUGCCGCUUUCUUACUUCUGCCCUGCCGCCCGCGCGCGUAUGAUGGAUCAUGUUAUAUUGAUGGUACGCCUCGAUUCAUUUCAAAGCUCUCUCUCCCUCUCACGUUCGCUAAACAAGAUGGAGAUUGACACCCUCGUCAGAGACAGAGACAGGACAUGACCUUCAAUGUAAUACGUACGACGUGGUUUAGUCUCGCAUCGAAAAUUCAUCUAUUGCUCGGUAAACCGUGGCUCUUCUCCCCCAAUCGGAAAUUCAACAUUGAUCUGGGGCGUUAGAUCCUGACCGGAUGGUCCAGGAAGAAGACGUCCCUCUGCCUCUGCUGCCUCGGUAGGCAAAUGCAGAGGAUCCUCUCCCUGCCUGCAAGCAAGUGAUCCCUGGUCCACUUGGAAGUGACCUCUGUUUUCUUCUCCUAUGCCCUUCAUUAUAUUCGGUGCAUCGCUCAGCCAGUAAUAAGUUAAUGCGCCUUAAUGCUUAGUAGUAAGCUCAGGUUCCGCAGGUGCUUGGCUUCCGCUACAGCAUGCAUCAUUGAGUAAUGAUGCCCUUCUUAUUUGCUUCAGUCCUCUUCAGUGUCCCUCUGCGCGUUGCAGUGGGCACCAAGGCCUGCACCUGGCAGACCAUCAAUCAACUGCACGCGACACGUACGGGGUAGUAGUAUUCAAACACGUUUGCAUAAUCCUGUUGAAAGUUGUUGAACGCGACGCGCCAUCUCUCCAUGACUCCAUGCAGCACAAAACCGCUCAUGGAGCAGGACUGGACUCAAGUUCGUUCCUCUUCUUUGACACGAGAACAGUGCCGAAACCACAGUCACUCCGGCCAGCUGCACAAAUCAAAGCCCAGCUGGACCAAACAGAACAGAUGCAAAGAGCACCGCACUAAAUCAUUGCACACCACGACUUGCUAGGUUUAAAUAGAAACAGAGAGAAGAGCAGCUCAGGAUCAAUGUUCUUGCAUCUGCAAAGGGUAAAGUUCCAUUGCAAAUAUUAAUUUUCUUCAGCUAAACCGGAGGGAGAUUACAACUGAAAACACCACCGCAACCAUAAUAAGUCUCCACCACACGUACCCUACAACGACACAACCUAAUCAACAGCAUCCAAAUAAACUAAGCUGCUACAACUAGCCUCCUGCUAAUGAGGAAGGAAGGAAACCCUGUCCAGUGGAUGAUCCAACGGCAGUCACUCCCCCACCCCCUGAUCGAGCUAACCGUCCGUAUGAGCAUCCACUGGCCGGGCGCACCAUCAAUCUUGGCUCCUUUCUUCACUUGCGCUUGCCGCCGCCACCGCCGGCCUCGCCGUGCAGGAGGUCCACGAGGCAGGGCUGCUUGCAGUUGAUGCAGGUCGGGUAGUCCUUCUUGGCCACCAUGCAGUACAUGAGGCAGCGGGUGCAGGCGCCGAUCACCAUGGGGGACUUGCUCCCGGGGCUGCCGCCGCUCGAGCUCCGCCCGUCCGACGACACGCACGAGCUCGGAGACGACGAGUCACUGUCGUCCUGCCCGACCUCCAUCCCCACGGCCGCCGGCGGGGACAGGUUCAGCUGCAGCUCCAGCCUCGCGCUCCUCACCCCGCUACCGCUGCCCCGGCUCAUGGCUCACUCUCACCACCUGAGGAUCACAGACACCACAACCUAUCAACAAAGAAUGAUGAACAAGAACACAGAGCAGAUACAGAGCUCCUGAUACCUGAAGCAAGCCUGGAGGAUGGGAAGAGGAGAUGAGAACAGCGAAAGAGAUGAGCUUUGAUGCGUCUGGUUGAGCGGCUAGGAAGUUAUAUAGGGCAGGGCAGGCAGGGGGUGUCAAGUAGGGGAGAGGUCAAUGCUUCUCUUUACUUGGCAUUAAUGCAAAAUAACAAAGCCCCCACGUCCUCCUCUUCUUCCUCCCUACUGGACUACUGUCUCCUUCAAAUCUCCUUCUUUCUCUCACUGUGAUCCUAUCCUAGUGUCUAGAAGAUCACAAAUUGAAGCCCUGCGAUAUUCAUGCGGCGUCCUCCAAGAUGAUGUUUUACUCCACAAAGAUGACAUAAGGUUGCAGCACUUGUAUUCAGCUGCUGGAACCAAACCGCUCUACUCUACUCCGCCCCAACACGCCCUCCCUGCAGCUGCAGUAAAAAUGUAAAACAGAGACACCCAUGAAGUAUGAACUAUGAAGUAUGAAGGGAAGGAAAUAUUGUCUCCAGCUAGCCAUCAGUUGAGGUUUACUCUUCCUUUGAUAACCCUUUUCAUCUCUCUCUCUCUCUCUGUGUGUGUGUGUGUGUGUGUGUGUGUGUGUGUGUGUGUGUGUGUGUGUGUAUGUACAUACAUAUACAUACAUACAUACAUAUAUAAUAUGUAUGUAUGUAUGUAUGUAUGUAUGUAUGUGACUCCACCGUGCAGUGCAGAGCUGCUGGCAGGCAGUACCGGUGAGUAAUUUUACGCCAUACUGUUGGCAGCAGCUGCAUAUAGUUUUAGCACCUUGAAUGCUCCUUUAUGGUGAGAUUUAUGGCCGCAGCAGCUGAUCAAAGGGUUCUACUCCCAUCUAGCAAAGUAGUAAAUGUGCAUCGAUGAGCCACUGCUUAUGUGAAUCGACUCACCUUAAAUAUUAAAGCCACUUUAGGUAAAUAUAAAGCCUUUUUUCUCAAUGUUAAAAGUAUGGAGCCUGUGAAGAGAGGCCGGCCGAGCCGUGCAUAUAUUACUUACCUGUGCCUUUGCAGCCUAUAUCCGUCAAUGCCGUUUGCUCUUCAAUGAGCUUCCAUGCUUUACUUUUGGUGCCUCAAGGAUGCAACUUGUGAAAUGACAUCUAACCAACAAGCAUUUAGAACCGCGUUGAGUAUUUAUUUCCAUCCUCACAAUCAGCUUAUGAGUCACUCUACUAAACCUGUAGCACUAAAUCCAUCUCUUACGGAAUCGUUUAAUAAAAGAAGAUUUACUCUUGCCAAUUUAAUCUGACAAGCAGGUCUACAGCAUCUUAGGGUUGACUCUGAGUAGCAAUUCCGAUUCGAGUAUGUAACUAUGUUGAUAAAUGACAAAACACACACAUAUUCUAGAGCGUGGUCAAGACCUCCCUCUGCACCAAAAAGGAAUGGUACAGAAAUUCUCAUUGCUUUUAACAAUUCCAAAGUAACCAGACUAAAACAUGCCUAAUAGAAAAGUACCAGCAAAACAUACUAUUUCAGCUGAAGUUUUAUUUGCAACUCUCUAGCCGACUCUGGAGAUUUUCUGCGCUAGCAACACAAUGAAGGAAACGUCCAAUCCAAUUAUUUAGCACUGUGCAUGAUCUAGGCUUUCUCUGCAUGAUUGAGGGAUCAGGAGGCAUAACAUAUUGCAGAGACGGAAGUGUAUUAUGCAAACAUGCUAGUUUAAGCUUCUCAUAGAAUAGUUUGCAAUAGUGAGAAGAAUAAACUCGGAUUAGAGAUUACAAUAGAAGGGAUCCUACUCACUUGGUUGGAUGGAUCCGGCCGAAAACGAAAAGAGCUGCCUCACGAUCCUAUUGUACUUCAGUCAGGACCAAGUCAAGUUAUCAACAGUGAAGACUGACACACAAUAGGAUCCACUCAAGGUGAGAUACUCACUCCUGAGCUGUUAGUCAUACUCAUACGUAGAUAUGGGCGACAUGUCAUUCCCCGAGAAUGAUUUUGCCAUCGAGACCUCUCAUCUGCAUGCCUUUAAGUUCAAAUACAUAUAAUAAUAAACCAAGUAAAGGACAGUCAGAUCUUUAAUUCUUAUGCAAUAAAAUCAGCCACAGCCGAAGCAGAGCACUUCAAUGUUCUAGCUUUGAAUUACAUGUCAAUUUCACCAGACUAGUCUGAACCAGGGUUAUCAAUAUCCUGGUGGCAGAAAUUAAUAUAUGCACACAUAACUGUAUAAAUCACUGAAAAGAUGAAACAUGUACAAUGCAAAUAUUGAUUGAACCAUGGCAUCAACAUAUUUAAUUGAGACUUCAAGACUUAUGGAUACAGCUAAGAGUUGGCCGACACUUUGUGAACUUUAUUGAUUUUGUAGUGCCUUAGGAAACCGUUUGUUUUACAUUUUGUGGCACCCUAAUCAAGAUAUUGGCAUUGCUUAAAAAUUCAGCAAACUACAAGCUCUCUUUCAACAUUUAUAAGCUCUAGGCGUCUCUGGCAUCAGCCAUGGAUAGUCCAAUGCUAGCAGUUAAGUUGGCAUCGUUCCUCAAAAUGUUUGUAAAUUACCAAAAAAGAUGAAACAUCGACAUUGCAUUACAUGAUCGAGCCAUGACAUCAACAUAAUAAUCGAGAAUUCGCAACAGUCCAUAAACAUUUUUGAAACUGUUUUUUGAGGCAAGUUUUUGAAACUUUUGAUAGUGCAAUGAUGUCUUGAAUUGGGAAACCUUUUGACUUACAUUUUGUGGUACCAUAAAAACGAUAUCUCGGGUUCACUUAAAAAUUCAACAAAUUUGAAGGCCUUCCACUGAACUAAGGCCCUGUUUGGAGCCUCCGGACUAAAGGUUAGUCCGAUGUUAGGAUGCCAAUUAGGAUGACUAAACAUGAGCUAAUUGCAAAGCUAAUUGCAUGUCACAACUAAUUUAUGAGUAGAAUCCAUUGAUCCUAAUUAGACCAUAAUUAGUCCAUGUUUACUGUAGCACAACAUGAGCUAAUCAUGGACUAAUUAGGAUCAAUGGAUACUACUCAUCAAUUAGACAUAACUUAUGCAAUUAGUUUUACAAUUAGUUCAUAUUUAGUUGUCCUAAUUGGCAUCAAAACAUUAGACUAAUUUUUAGUCCGAGGGCUCCAAACAGAGCCUAAGAAUCACUUCAACAUUUAUAAGGUCUGUGCACCUCUGCCAUCCCACCUUCGGCUAUGGAUUGUGAGUCCAAUGCUAGCAGUUAAGUUGGCAUCUUCCUCAAAAUGGGCAACGGCCUUUAUGAGGCCAGAGCUGUAAAGACGGCUAUCUAUAUAAAAAAGAAAGAAAGAAGAAUCUGUUUAAGUCUUUGACUAGAAAGCUUGAAUUAAUUCAGCAACCAGUGCUGUCGUGGGUGAUAAAAUCUCAUUGAUAUCUUUCAAUGGCACAAGUACAAAUAACUCGAGAAAAUAAGGAGUACUGUCUAUGGAUAGAAUCAAUACAUGAUGGAACAGAACCGCCUCUUAACUUAUGCACUGCAGCGUAAUAAAAGUGAAGUGAAUUCUAGUACUUUAUUUCUUGUUAAAAUUACUAUUUUGAUGGAUGUACCAGACAGCUGAGCUUGUACAAGAUGAGUAUGUACGACCACAUCCACAUGGCAUACAGCAUAUAAGCCCAUGGAAUGGAAGUAUUCAGAACUCUAAUAUCUGGACCCCAGUGCAAGAAGUAUUAGUAGUCCCAAUAGAGAGAGAAUAUUUGCAGUACGAAACAAACAGCUCAGUACAGUGGCAAUAGCAGUGCACAAUCAAUAUAACUGAACAAAUUAAUUUUGUUAGUACCUUAACUUCGGCAUGAACUAAAAGGCCGAGAGCGUUCGGUGGAAGAAGAUCGUGGAACUCCAGAUCACUUGCGGUCCCAUCGGAUCGGAGCAUCGGACACAGAUACUGGACCAGAGAUGCACAGAUGGAGUUGUCAGGCAACCGCGCCGUCUGCUGCUCGCCUCCCGGCAGACAUCCCUUGGUGAUCUAGUCGCAACUGGCAAGCACAAACACGAGUUAGGUGGAUCGCCGCCACAUGAUAAACCUGCUGCCCGCGAGAACACCUGGGCUACCUUGGUUUUCCGGCUGCGAAGUUUCAUCGAACACGGUGUGGGCAAGCCGGCAUGGCCAGGACCAGAGAGGAAACCUGGAGGACUGGACUGGACGUCUGGACCACCAACGCCGCCAGCGACAGAUCAUGCAUGGUUGUUUGUCAUGGAUGUGGGCAUGUGGCCGUGUGGAUCACCUGCUCCUGCUCGCCGGAAAGCGCAUCCAGCGCGUCGCCCGCACCGCCGCACGCCGUCGUCGGCGCCCCGCCGCGCCACACCCGGCCCGCCUCCGGCCCAAGAAGCGGCCGGCCCUUGUAAUUAUUUGAGAUGGGCCGCCAUCUCCUGGGCCUCGGCUUCUGAGAAGGGAGGGAAAGCGAGAAAGCGAAAGGCCCAUGAAGCGAAGGCGUCCCUUGGUGGCGCGAGGGGCCGUCCAGUUCGGUUACAGUGAGAACCCAAAAAAGAGAAAACAAAAACAGGAAAAAAGGGAAAGAAAAAAGGAUCGCGAGGAGUUCAAUUGGCAGUUGCCGAGCCUGAGCGCGCUCGCCCUCGCCGUCGACGUUGCCGGCGGCGAUGGGAAACUCACAGGCUUCACCGGCGUCCGCCUCCAGCUCCCGCUUCGCCACGGCCUCCAGGUACCACCACACUCACAGCUGCCACCUCCAUCGCUGCUGAGAUUCGCGAGCCUUGUUCCGGUGAUCUCACUGCCGCGCUUCCUCGCAGGGCCUUCUCGAAGCAGGAGCUGGAUAGCCUCCGCACUCUAUUCAGCUCCCUCGCAGCGCAGUCGCAGACCAGUGGCCGUGCCAUCUCACGCCCCGUCUUCCUCGUGAGCAACCGCGUUCGCCCCCAAUUGCUUCGAAUUGGGUUUGGAUCUUGCUGGAUUUUUAUGAUGGCUUCUGACGGGUGUGUCUCUCUUCGUGCAGGAGUACUAUGGGGUGCGGGGCUCGUUGGGCGAGAGACUAUUCCAGUUGGUGGCGAAGGAGAGUGGUGGGAGCGAUGGGGUCACAUUCGAGGAUUUGAUCAUCUCCAAAGUUGGUACCUCUUCUCUAAUGCUCGACUCAAUUCGAUCCAUUCUGUUGUUCAGUUAGUUGCUGCAAGUGAGAGACGUUGGUGGAAUUGAUCGAAUAAAUUGUAGACAUUGAUGCAAUAUUGCUCAAUAGAUUGCUGAUAUGCAUGCAUAGACCACUUCAGUGCUUUAAUUCAGACAUUCAAUGAGGUGUUUCACUGUGAUCUUAUAAACUUGUCUACUUUGUGUGUAUUCUUGUUUAAUUUUUUUUCUUUGUUACAUGUAGGCAACAUAUGGAAGGGGAACUCGAGACGAGGUUGAUGAAUUCAUUUAUCAACUAUGUGACGUUACAGGAGAUGGUGUCUUAACCAGGUGCAGCCCGAGAUAAAUGAUUUCCUUCUGAUGCAUUGAUGUGUCAUGUGUGAAUUGUGUCCUUUGCUAAGCUGGUUCGAUAGUCGAACGCUUAAAAUUUGAAACUACCUCAAACAAAUGUGCUACAAAAUGCAAGUGAUAUGAAUGAGGAGAAGGUCUCUUGCUACCAUUGGCCCUCUAUGCAUUUCCAUUGCAUACUUUAGGUAGUACUUUCACUGGGUGCAAUUGAAAGAGAUGAGUUUGUUUGCAUUUGGAAAAAUUUAUGCUUUUCAUUUUAACAGGCUUAUGAUUUAUACGGUCGUUGAUGUUCUUUUAAUCAAGUUUUAGUCAUCAAUUGAUAUUUACUCUUGCAUUUACCUCUCUCGUGCACUGCCAGGUCUGAUUUGGAAUCUGUCUUGGCGUCCAUUCAUGAAACUAUAUUUGAAGAAAACAAGGAAGUUGGGGAAGGUUCCAAUAACAGACCGUUUGAAGCAUUCCUCAACUCUGCAGUAUUUUCGAAGGAUGCUGAAGCGGUCUCAGAGAAGUCUAUGUCAUUAUCAGACUUUAGGAACUGGUGCACUCUCUUGCCAUCAUUGAGGAAGUUCCUUGGAAAUUUGUUGAUGCCCCCUGAUUCAGGUCUGUCUUAUUCUUGUAAUUCUGCUGGUAUUCCUAAACGCAGCAUUUCCAUCAUUAAAAUAAAAUAAAAUAUUGUAUAUCCAGUCCAUCUGAUGGUGUAGGAGUAGGACUGGCAAUUUUUCCUCAGGCUGCCCCCAUUAGUCUUCACAUCCAGGAAUUGACACAGUGCUGAUUCACAUGAUGACCGGGUUGAAGUUUUUGCACGCUUCUCUCAUUUUUUUUUGCACUCACUACUAAACAGCUGAAGUGCUAGGGAGAACAUCAUAAGCAUGUGCUCACAGAAGUUUCUCAUGCACAGAACAAUGUGAAAAAUACAAGCCAUACAAUUCAAGAACUUAUACUAUUUUCUUGAAAAAUGGGGCGUUCUACUGCAUUAAGAAUGUUCCUCUCAAACUUGUACAAGAAGAAGCAGAGAUAGAAGUUCCAUUAUCGAACCAAUACUUUCUAAGUCUCAAAACCAGAUCAGAUCAAAUAGUCCUGAGGCAUACAGUUUUUUGCCUCUUACAAACAUCUGACUCUUUCUCAAACAUCCUCAUUCUCCAUACUUUUACACCUUGUUCAUUGGCAAAUGCAGACAGCAGACACGAUGCUGUAGCUGACUGUCAGAAGAUGCCGACAUAACUUAAUAUAUCCAUCAAUAAUGCAAUUUAAUAUGCAAGUCAAUUUAGUAAAUGUGCUAACUGUAGCGAAUUCGAAAUUUUCGCAUUAGAAUCCGAAACAAAAGACACCAACUGGAAAUAAUAUGCGAUUUGCCUUAGUAGUUUUAUGUAUUUACUGCAUUCAGUUAUUAGGACAGUUCCUGUUACAAUUGUGCCAUUGUGACAAGGAUGGAACAGGAAUACACAUGAUAGCUUGGAGGACAUGUUGUGCUUGUGUUGCAUGAGUGACAGCAUUUGCUUUGUCUCCAUUUGUUUGAAUGAACCUUCAAAUCUAAUUCUUGUCCUACACACCACUUAAUCACUUAUGUCAUUUCACACUAUUGCCUGUUCAUUAUGAAAGAAAUUCUCGAUUAGUUCAGCACAUGCUAUCUGAAGUUGCACAUUUAUACCUUUAGCAUGUUUAUUAGUAUUUGAGAAGUUUAAAUGAAAUCUUAAUUUACAUAUGUUGAGGGCCAUCCGUAUCUGCAAUGCUUAUGAUAUAUCAUGGCAUGCUUUUGCUGACUUUAGUUUGUUUGCAGGCAGACCAGGGUUUGAAGUACCACUGCUUCACUAUCCUGAAAACAUCUCCACCGAUUUGCUUCUUUUAAAUAAAGAGUAUGCCUGGCAUAUUGGAGGUGGCUUUUCCCAACAUGAGGUGCAAGAAUGGAAGCUUUUGUAUCAUAGUUCUCUUCAUGGACAAAGCUUCAACACUUUCUUAGGCAAAGUAACGUGAGUACUCUUCAAUUUUGUAGAUAUGCUUGAGUGAAAGCCACAUUCUUUGACUUCAUUCAUGAUUACAAAGAUGCGUUACUCUGUAUGGAAAUGACAUAAUGAAACUAAGUUCCACCCUCAUGACAUGAUUUCAGUUAUUUUUCUUUGUUUGCAUACCGGCAACAUUGAGGCCAAUUCCAAUUUCUAAUAAUGUGCACAAGCUUGCCAGUUUCACAACCUACUGCCACGAUUCAUGAGAGUCCUUAUGCUUGUCCUAUAACUGCUUAUACUUUUGUAUUAAUAACUUUUGAACUAUAUAUGUAAUUCUUGGACAUGUUUUUCAUUUUAUAGGAAUGGUGAUGCGCAGACUGUUCUAAUUGUUAAAGAUACAGAAGGAUCAGUUUAUGGUGGGUAUGCAUCACAGCCUUGGGAAAGGCACAGUGAUUUUUAUGGUGACAUGAAGACAUUCCUCUUCAAAUUAUACCCUCAAGCAUCCAUUUUCCGCCCUACAGGAGCAAACAAAAAUUUGCAAUGGGUAUGCCUUGCUCAGUUCGAAGUAUCUUCUCUAUUUUAUUUCUUCACUGCAUAUGUAUUACUACUCAUCUCCAGAACUAUAAAUGGUAGUAAUCAUUAGCUUAUUUUGGCAGUGUGCUAUAAACUUCAGCUCUGAGAACAUACCUAAUGGCAUUGGAUUUGGAGGGCAGCCACAUCAUUUUGGGCUCUUUUUAUCUGCAAAUUUCGAUCAAGGGCACUCAUUUACUUGUAGCACGUUUACCAGCCCUCCUCUUUCCAAGACAAACAGGUUCAGGCCAGAAGUCAUUGAAUGUUGGGGAAUACAAAUGAGGGGAGCACAAGAUGAGAAACCGGAGCUUGUCAAGGGGACAGUCCUCGAGAGAUUCAAGGAGGACCGGAACAUGUUGAAGAUGGUUGGUUUGGCAAAUGCGAGCGAUUAAGGACUGACUGAGGAUCAUAACUGAGAACAUGCUGGAGAGGACCUGUACAGUACAUGUUUAUAAAAAACAAUCCCUCCUGAUACCAUGCCUGACUCCUUUUGUGUUCAUAUAUUUUAUCACUGUAAAAUUUUCGUUUGAACCAAAGUGAUGCGGAGCACACUGAAUGGAGCUCAUGAUUUAGAAUUAUAACUAUUGGCCUAUGUUUGUUCCCAACUUUGAACGACAAAGAAUUUAAUGGAAUGUUUAGCUUUAAGGUGAUCCAUCAUGAGUUCAUCCUAUGAAGUUUAGUGCGCUGACUUAAUCCCUCACGUCUAUACUAAUAUGUGAUUGUGACUUGUGAGGGACGAGGUGGUGAUGAAUUAAAUCACUCCAUCCCGCAGACCAAACAAAGAUACCAUGGGUGAGAAAGUGUUGGUAUGUCAUGAGAGGAUGCUGUGUCACCCAUUUCUCAAACAAACACUCCAUAACUGGGUGAUCCCCAAAUUUGGCUGGCAUAUUUGUGUGCUGUGCUUAAAACGACACCUGGCUACUGUUGCGUAUGCUGGCAAGCUUGUUCAUAAAAGCAUUCUAGGAAGUCACAGACCCCUCUAAACAAAUAUAGACAGGAAAUGGAGGAUAUUAUCUGUGCGAACUCACAUGCUCAUCCAUUCCUACACAGGUAAGGGAGGGGCAAAUAUAGACAGGAAACCAGGAGAGGAUCAAUUGCUUGUAUAUAGUGAAUUAGUGAUAUAUCUGUAACUUGUAAACUAGGCAGGCAAAAUCUGCAACCUACACAGAGGCUUAGCAUCCUUCUCGGCAAUUGCUGCAUUUUACCAUUUUCCUGGCCGCUGGAUCAUGUACCAUUAUUCCGUCACAAGUUUAAAAGAGUGCUCCUUUGCCCCUUGAAACUGACGGGUCCUCUAAUAUAUUCCUUAUUAGCUUCGGAUUUAUUGGCUAUACCUUUUUUUUCCCCCUGAAAUGGUCUUCCUGUUUUUUCUUUAGCAAAGUUUAACAUUGAUAACGUGUUCAUCUGCUGUCCACGAGAUUCACAGUGAGCCUGCAGGUUUCUUGAGCAUGUACCUCUGCUCUGAUUGGAAGUUGAUGAGAUCAGCAAGUUUGUUGCAAGAACAUCUUCACUACUUAUGUUGGAUACUCAAUAGGGUAGUUAUGCUGAAACGAACACCAAUGGUGAAACAUGUAUUCUAUUUCUUAUGAUACUUGUAUAUGCGAACUCACACGCUCAUCCAUUCGUACACAGUUAUACGCAGCCACACAGGUAAGGCCGGAGCAAAUAUAGACAUGAAACCACGAGACGAUCAAUUGCUCGUAUAGUUUGGUAAACUAAGCUGGCAAAACCUGCAACUCACACAGAGGCUUAGCAUAUCCUCCUGGAAGCUGCCCCGAUGCCUUUUCAUAUGGGCAUUUUACCAUUGUAUUUAUUGGCCAUCGAAUCAUGUACGUUUAUUCACCUACAUGUUGUAAAAGAGUGCUUCUUAUUAUGCACUUUGCACUUAUGCUUUUUCCUCCUGAAAUUAUCUGCCCUCUUGUUAGCAAUAAAGCUGAACAUCGAUAACGUGUGCGUGUCGUGUCCAUGAGAUUCACAGUGAGCCCUGUAGGGUUCUUGAGCGUAUAGUACAUCUGCUCUGGUUGGAAGAAGUUGAGACCAGCAAAUUCGUUGCAAGAGAAUCUUCACUAAUGUUGUGUACAUAACGAUGCAGAAAUGAGCACCAAUAACGAAACAACACGAGAUGAAGAUAGAUUACUAAUGUUAAUCCAGCGAAUUAAUUUCUUUCCCCACCCUUUGAAGUUUGAAGCCGUUUCCCCGUUUAUGUGUAAGGCUCACCGUGUUUCUUUUUUCGUUCUUCCCUUAUAUUUUGCCAGGAGACGAUAGACUAAAAGAUUACUGUUGCGUACGCUGGCUACCUUGUUCAUAAAAGCAUUCUAGGAUGUGGUAGGAGUAUCCUAUUUCUUGUGAUGCUUAUCUGUGAGGAAAGCUCAUCCAUUCGUACACUACAGGCAAGGGAGAUGAUGAAAAAAAGCAGGAUGCUGUAGCAUAGGCUGCCAAGCUUGUUCAUAAAAGCAUUUUAGGAAGUCACAAAACUGCCUAAACAAACUUGUAUUCUAUUUCUCUUGUGAUACUAACCUGUGUGAACUCACAUGCUCAUCUAUCCAUACAAGGGUAAGUGAGGAGCACAUAUAGACAUGCUCAUCCAUUCCUACACAGGCAAGGGAGACGAUACAUUAAGCAGCCUAAUGUAGCGUACACUGACAAGCUUGCUCAUAGAAGCAGUUUUAGGCAGUAAAAAGACUCCCUAGACGAACUGGGAUUCUAUUUUCUUCCGAUACCGGCCCGUCUGUGCAGCAAACUCACAUGCUCAUCGAUUCCUACAAAUUCACAUCUCGCGCAUAUUAUCUUGACCUAGAGGUAUGGAGCAUUUGGACAAAGAUCCGUCUGUGCGGUUCGCCUUUCAGCCUCAGGGGAACCAAUACAGGAUGCCCGACUCGGCAUUUCUCUCCUUCGGCGGAGGUUAUCCCGACUUCUUCGGAUUUUUCGUUGGCGCUCGUGGGUCAUCAUUGCUGAGGCGGAGUGUUUCUUUCCACCCCGACAGGCGGUGUUUGAUCGCUGGGACGGUCUCAAGGCGCGCACCAUUGACGACCCGAUGGGACACAAUGUGCUCCUCACCUACUUGGCGACCAACUGGAGGACCUUCUCUUGUGCGAUUCUGAGCUGGUACAAGCAUGGCCACUACUCUUUCAUGUCGGAAGCGCCCAAGAAAUGCACUUGGACUUGAACCCUGAUGAGUCAGAGUUGAAUUAUGACCGAGCGAGUAUGGCUGUAUGCAUGGGACUAUGGGAGUUGUUCGAUCGUGUCGACUGUGGACACGUGUUCUACUGAGUUGUUUGUGGGGGCUGCGGAGUAAAUGUGACCCAGCCAAUGAAUAAAAUAAAAUGAAGGCUUGAACCGUAUGUCAAUUUCCAUUAAUAAUGUCUUUGUGAAUUUGGGUGACUGAUGCAUAGUUAUAGUAUAUCGCCGAGGAGCCCCUGUCCAUUUGUUAGGUCAAAUCUAGGAUCGCCAAGGUUCGCUGGAAAACGAUCAUGUUGUUGUCUGGUCUACAUGGUGUGACAAAGAUACUCUGAAUAUCUUUCUUCCCCCUCAAAAUGACGGCAAAAGCUUUGCCGUGAAGUUUAUCAGAAGGGAGAAAAAAUUGGCACAUAUAUGGGUUUCAUAACUAGUGAAGUGUACUAUCUGAUGAUAUGCCGGUGAUAUGCCGGUGACCUCGUCAGGUGUUACAUCUCGGCUAGAGAUUGCCAACACAAAACCAACAAUAUAUAACUGCCCCGCGAUGAGGAUCAAAACGACACUUCCUAGGUAGAGAAUCGAUUGUCUCGAGGUAGUCUGCUGGUCGGAUGAACAGGGAGUUUGACAAUCCUGAUUAUUUGUAAUGAAUUAUCUGUUCUGAGUGUAAAAUGACUUGUAUGCUCGUAUAGCUCAUGAUAGCAUGAGCUCACUUGAUUCAUGAGUAUAUACAGAAGAUGAUUUUGUCAAUAUUUUUUAAAGUUUGUAAAACAUAAAUUUUGAUAAAACAAUUACUUAUGACCCCACCUGUCAUCUCUCAAUUUAUCCUUUUCUUUGUUUUUGACUUCUUGGCAUUCCUCUUCCCUAGCCUCAAAACUGCCAUCCGGCAAAAUUUAACAUCUCCGUUAAAUCUCAGAUCAAUUAAUCGCAAUUGAAGCGAUAGAAGGAAAUAGAAGAGAUAGAAGGAAAGAGUCGCUGCCGCUCAUCCUGCUGCCGAGCGUGCUGCCUGCUGCCGUCCCCUGCUGGCCCUGCCGCGCCGCGCCGCAGCUGCUCCCCUGCUGGCUGCGCCGUGACGCAUCGCCGUCUGCCCGCCUGCUGCGCGGCGCCGCACCUGCUCCCUGCUGGCUGCACCGCCGCCCGCCCACCUGCUGCGCCACGCCGGAGCUGGAGGAGCUGGGGGAGCGCGCGAGGGAGCGGCGGCCGGAGCUGGCGGAGGGCAGAGGCGGCCGGGCGUGCGCAGGCGGAGGGAAGGCGGGUUGCGGAGGGGAGGGGAGGGGUGCGGAAUCGGUGGGAUUUUUCCCAAAAGCGACGUGAGGGACGAUUCUGUGGCGUAGUGUUGUUGGGGCUGCGGUAAAAAUCGCUGCCGGUGAAGGAGGUCGAGAAUCGUGACGUUGGAGAGCUUCCUCGAUUAUUUUCGCGAGAAUCGGCUGGAGAAGCUGAAACAAACACCCUGCUCGCUUCACUUGAAAGGACGCGUCAGAUCCCGUGUACGACCCCUCAAAGAAGGAGCGGGCUUCCGUAAGCGGAAAAACUUUGUUCCAAAUUCCUAAGCUACAAAGUCAUGUUCGAAUACGUGUGUACUACAUGGUGGGGACCACCCAUUUCGAGAAAGAAGUUUGGGCAACGUUGAAUAGAUUGCCAUCGGAUCGAGAGAAACUUGUGCUAGUGACCCUUGAAACAUAUGGUUUUGCAUUUUUGACAUCACUUUGCAGUUUUGGCACUUCAAACGUUAGGUUGCUUGAUUUAGCAUUUUCAUCUUUUUAGCAUGUAUUUAACUUGGGAUCAACUGAAAUGGGUUAGCUUCGUCCCUAUUUUUUUAAGUCUGACUCGUCUUGAAUAGUUCCAUUUCAAUUUUUUGUUUGGUUAGAGAGGUUACGAAGG